This 46785-nucleotide long non-coding RNA is filed under the name Gossypium raimondii (Peruvian cotton). RNAcentral's name for it is "long non-coding RNA (GRAI_LNC009688)". The record is from RNAcentral. Lineage: Eukaryota; Viridiplantae; Streptophyta; Magnoliopsida; Malvales; Malvaceae.
CGACAACGCUCUCUAAAGUCGAGUUCCAUCCAUUAUGCGUAAAGAACCCGCCAAUGGCCGGGUGGUUCAAGACUGCCUCUUGUGGUGCGCAAUUUACAAUGUAACCUCGAUCCUUACUCUUCUCCAUAAGCUCCAUUACAACAUCCUCCCCUUCACCAUCUUUUCCAAUCACGGAAUCUGGCCUUACAACAAGCAAGAACUUCGUUUUACUGUUAAGAAGUCCAUACCAAAGCUCAACAAGUUGCUCCCUUGACAUGCUCGUAAUGCUAACAAAACUUACAUAGAUAACAGAUCGAUUCGGUUGCUUAUUGAGCCAAAAGAUGCAGCUUUUAUCCACUUCCCAAAGUGUAUUCGAGAUGUGAUCAUAUGAUUCUCCAUGUUUUGCAUUGAGUCUAGUGUUUAAUUGAGCAUGUAAGGGUCCAACGGCAUAGACACGAGGGCAUUUGGUGCGUAUUUGAGAUAGUAUAGGCCCAUCGAGCUCUUCGGCGGUGUUGAGUAUCAAGGCAUCGGCUUGAAGGCUCUUUCGUGUCUGUUUUACGACUAGCUUCAUUGAAUCUUCAAAGUCCAGUUUUCGACAAUAAGUAGGAAGAUCUCGACAUCGAAGAUAAGUUUCCAUGCCUGGCACUGUCGUUAUUAGCCGGUCCAUGUCUUCACUUCCUUCAAUUGUUUAACAAAAAACCAUUUACUAGUGUCAAUGAUCACAAACCCAAUUAAAUGAAACUCAUAUCAGAUUCAAAUUUAUUUAAUCAUAGAAAUUUAACAACUCAAAUUCGAAAUGAUCUAAGUUCAAACAUGAUCACAACUUCGAACGACUCGAACUUAAAACCCACGGGAACAAAUUACCCAAAGUGGUCCAAACUUAAGUAUUAAACCAGAAUAAAACAAUCCUGAAAUGAUUCUACUUGAAAAUCGACACAAAAAAACCCAGCUAGCUAACCUAAAGUGACCCGAAAACAAAAUAACCAAAAAUAAUUCGAAUUUAAAAGUUAAAUUAGUAGAACCCAUUGAAACUCAAAAUCAUUCAAACAUGAAAUUUUUUAAAAAUUUUAAAUUCCGAAUUAAUCCAACUUAAACCAAAUCAACUCGCCUAAUUAAGAGGAAUAUUCCAAAUGUCUUUCUCGUUAAUUUCUUCAACAUGCUUGUCAAAUCAUUUCGACUUAAGGUUUUGUGUUAUUCUAAGUUAAAAACAGUGCUAAACAUGGUACAAUAAACAAAUUUGAUGAGAAAGAAGUGGAUUUACCAUUGAUAGGAAGCUCCCCAGCUUGGAUUAUAUCAGGGAUAGAAUAAUAAACCCAGAAACAACAAGGACUGCUGGUACGAAAAAAAAUAAUGGGGAUUCCAAGCUCCUUUGCAACAUCAAGAGCAAAGCCUGAAAACCCAUCUGCAAUUAUGCAAUCUACUGGUGGGCUACUAUUCACAAGUACCUCUCUCAAACUUUGCUUCAUCUUAAGUUCCAUGGUAUCUUCAAACAUAGCAAGGAACCAUCUCCCUGACCUAGGAUGAUCAAGAGGGAGACCAUCGGUUAUGGUCUUGAAUUGGAACCCUGGGUAUCUUUCAAAAUGGGCAGCAAUAUUGUUGAACUUGACCAAGCGUUCAUGGUUGUGGUGGGAGUGGAGGAAAGUCAGCUUCAAGCCGGCGAUAGCUAGCAGUUCAGCUAGCUUAAUCAUGGAGUUUAUAUGGCCCUGUAAUGGGAGGGGGAAGAUGAGGACAUGUGGAGGACGGGAUUGAGAGGAUCGAUCCUGCUCCUCCAUCUAAUUGGAUGAUCUGUUUUGAGGGGCUUUUUGAGUUUUAUGUGCUUAAGAAGAAUGUAUUAAUUUAUAAGUGAAGAAAUAAAUGAUAUAUUUAUCAUAAUUUUAGGAAACCAAUUAGCCUCUUAUUUAUCCAAGAGUGAAGUUAGAAAACUUUUUCAUGUCUAAAAUUAACUUGUAAUUUUUAUAAUGAUAAAAAUGUAAUUUCUUUAUUUUUAAUAGUUUAUAUUUUUAUAAUUUUUAAAGGAUUAAAUAAAAAAAUUAUCAUUUUUAGGGGGUUAACGUAUAAUUUUAUCUCUUAUAAUUUAAAAUUUUAAAAAUUUUAAAAGACCUACAUGGAAAAAAAUUUCAUUUAGGGGGAUUAAGGCCCCUGUUAGCCCCUUUAGCUAUGCCCAUGUACCUAUUCUCGAUGACCUUAUUUUCCAUUUCCAUUCCAAUGUGGAAUUAUUGCAUCUUGCCUACUUUAAAGUGUUUGGUGUGACAUUCUCUCCCAUUCAAUCUCGUGACGUCUUAGUCACAAGCUACUGUGUCACAGUUGAUUCACUAUGUCAUCCCACUUUCUGAGAUGCUUAUUGUGAAAUUGGGCAAUCAAGGAUUGCUUUGAUACCACUUGCUAUGGGAUCAUUACUCUUUUCCCAAAAGACAUGUGAUUGGAUGUGUAACGACCCGUUUUCGGUGAAAUCGAAACAAUAAUUUUGGGACCACAAAUUCGAGGUCAUAAAAUUUAUUUUAAUAUUAUUUUAUGGUUCAUAGUAUGUUAGAAUUAUGGUAUAAAAAUUUCCUUAAGAAAUUUUACCGUUUGUAUGCUCAAUUUGUGAAAUAGGAAUAAUCGCAUAAAAUGCGAAAGUUGUGUUCUAUUAGCUAAAGGUGUCAAAUAGCUAUAGAACUUUAAAGUAGAGGUCCUUAUUGAGUAAUUAGACCACUAUUUGAGUUAGUGGAUGUACAUGGAGUAAAAAUCAUGAAAAGUCAAAGUUGGUAAGGGUUGGUAAUUUGAUGAUUAAAGUUAAAUUAAAUAAAAUAAAACCAAAGGGGUCAUCUUCCUCCGUCUUUUUCAACCGAAAAUUUUAGCAAACUAAAAGCAUAGGAAAGCUUGAAUUUUCAGCCACAAAGUCCCUUGCAUGUAAGUUAUUUUGGUGGUUGUUUUUGUUGGUUUUUGUGUUUUUGGAACCUUUGUAGCUUAAGCUAGCUAAUUAAGGGGCUAAUUUGCAAUAUGAUUGAAAGUCUAGGGUUUUUCCAUGAGAUCAUAUUGGUUGUUUUUUAAGUUUAAUGAAAGAAAAUGAAUCUUGAUUGUUAAAUAAACAACUUUUAUUAAAGGAUUUUAAGUGAAAUUGUCAAUUGGGGGAUAAAAUGAGAAAUGUGAAAUUUAUGUGUUAAAUGUGUGAAAUUGUGAAAUAUAUGGGCUGAUAUAGGUAUAUAUGAAAAUUGGGUAGGCUUGUGUAUAGAUGAAAUUGCAUGGAUUUCAUUUUUAUGAGCCUAGGGACUAAAUUGUAAAGAAGUCAAAAGUUAGGGGCAAAAUGGUAAAUUUUCCAUAUUAUGAAAUUGGACUAAAUUGAAUAGAGUAAUUAUUAAAUUAAUUAAAUUUGAUAUUAUAUAGAUCAAGAAAACCCAUGUUCAGAUUUAAACCGGGGAAAGGAAAAAGUAGUGGAUUGAAUGGUCGACUUACUCCGUAUUAAUUCGAGGUAAGUUCGUAUAAUCACAUUGUGUAUUUACAUGCUUUAAUUGAAUUAUAUGUAUGUGAAUUUAAUAAUUAUGAUAUAUAUAUAUAUAUGGAAUGUAUAACUAAUAUAGUACUAUAAAUAACGGGCCCCAUUUGAACCAUAGAAAUUCGUAUGACACAAAUGACGUGUCAUUAGGGUUACCGAUUUUGGUUGAGACCCUACAUGUGUUACGGACUCACCGCAACUCGUAUGAGCUUACAGAAUCUCAAGUCGUAAGAGCUUACCGUUAUUCAGCUCAGAAGAGCUUACUGAUAUUAAGCUCGGAUGAGCUUACUGUUUAUUACUCGUAUGAGCACACAUGUGGAAGAAUUGACGGUUUACCGCUCAGUACACUUCGUGUGUACCACCCACAUAUCCUACGAUAUUUUAGAUGGUUUAAUGGGCAUAGUAUUAUUACGGCAUUAUACAAGUUUGAUAUGACAAGUACAAGUAUUUGCAUGGAAAUGGUUGAUAUUUGAUAUAUGACUAUAUAGCAACAUGUACAGGGAAUUUGAUAAAUUGAUGAAUUCAUAAAUGAUUUUCGGAUUUAUGUGAAUACAUGAUUAACUUGAUUAUGGGUUGUAUGAUAGGUUUAGGCCAAAUUGAAUCGAAUUACAUUUCGAGUUAUUUACCUUAAAUUGUAGUUAUAUGGUAAGUUUUAUUCUUUGAAUUACGAACUUACUAAGCUUAAUUGCUUACUCUGUUUUUUUGUUCAUGUUUUGUAGUAUUUUGGAAGCUUGCUCAAUUUGAAAAUCAUCGAAAAUCGCGUCGCACUAUCAAACUCUAUUUUGGUACUUAGACUUUACAUUUUGGGUUAAAUGGCAUGUAUAUGUGUUUUGGUUAAUGUGCCCUAUAUGUCUUAUGUUGUUUUGGUUAUACGUAUAGCCAUGUGAUUUGGCUUAUUUUGGUAUACUUGGUUUGUAAAUAUGUAUAAAUGAUUUUUUGGGUAUGUUUUAAGGUGGUUGAUUGAAUUUGUUUGUUAUAUCAUGUUGUGAUGUAAAUUCGUAGUGAACUCGGUUUAGUCUCGAAUCACUUUUAAUGUUUAUUUGGGCUUUGAGGGCUAUUAGGGACUGUAUAAAUGUAUUUGAAUGGUUUUUGAUACGAAUGAUAAAAAUAUUUCGGGCCUUUAAAGAGUUAGAUAGUUCAUUUGGAUAAUCCUAAAGUAAAGACUUUUAAUUUUCUAUGAAAAGGCCUGAAGAGGAAUUAGUCAUGAUGAGUCGUGUCAUCUUUGUGGUCACCAUACAGAGGAUGUUUUACAUGUUCUUAGAGACUGUCCAUGUGCGAAGGAUAUUUGAACUCAAAUCAUUUCCCUCAAUUAAAAUAUACAGUUCUUUGAAUGUAAUAUUUUGGAAUGGUUGUUCUCGAAUCUAUAGGACCAAUCAGAUAAUAACACGGGAGAUUUAGUCUGGGCUUGCUUUUUCAGGAUAAUUCUUUUGCGCAUCUGGAAAAAUUGUAACAUGUUCAUCUUCCAAGGAAAAUCAAUGAAUCUAGAGGAAAUUAUUAAGGUUUCCUACAGUUGGGCAAAGCAAUACUCCUCAAUCAAUAAUAAAGUCUUGGUGAUGGAUCUGCAGCAAUCUUCUGAACGUUUGGAAUCAAGUAUGGGUUUUCUUCUUAAUAUUGAAGGUGUUGUUAAUUAUAUUUCUGGUCUUUCAGUUGUAGGUGGAGUAAUAUGUGAUGGGAAGAGAAAUAGGAUUUUGGGCUAUAAUCGCUUUUUGGAGAAAUGUUCGGUUGUAGCUACAGCUUUGGGAGAUAUUAAAUGGCUUACACAUAUUUAAAAAAUAAGGAUAUGAUGACGUUAUCAUUUAUUCUGAUAGUCUCGAGGUCGUAGCAGCUGUUAGCGAUAACAAGCCUGAAAAACUAACCCUACUUUAAUUAGGACUAUUCAACAUAUCCUUGCUAACGAAAAGAUAUAAUCAUUGAGAUAUGUUCCUAAAAUGAAUAAUAAAAGUACGUCGAUUACAGGUUAGGGGUGUUACAUUUAUUGGUAUCAGAGUUACGAUUUAGUCGAUUCUAGGACUAACGUAGUGGGUGUAAGUCUAGCUAUACAUGUCAUUUAUUAACUUGUGAUACUGUGACAUCUCCUAAAAGUUUAAAUUGUGUUUUUUAUAUAGCAAUGGAUCCCAAUCGAGUAGAUUCUAAUGAUGUUGAAAGUAACGUGCCGGCCUCAGUUUGAGGGGCAGCGUCGUCUGGGUCUAGACCUGUGUCAGAUAGUUGUGGAAAAAAGGCUAAGGAAGCCUAAUGAACGAGUGGUUCACUGAGUAUGUCUGGACAAAUCCGGCUACUCAGAAACCUCCACCCCCACCUUACCCCCAACCAGUUCCCAUGGCUCCUCAAGUCUCAGAACCGGUACGUUUGAACAAACUGCCUGUGGAUAAAAUUAGAAAAUAUGGGGCUGAAGAGUUUAGGGUUACAGUUGAUGAUGAACUUGAGAGAGCUAAGUUUUGGUUAGAGAAUAUAAUCAGGGUUUUUGAUGAGCUGUCUUGCACGCCAAUUGAAUGUGUUAAAUGUGCUGCGCCCCUUCUGAGAGAUUCAGCUUAUCAGUGGUGGAAUACCCUGAUAUCCAUAGUGCCGAGAGAUAGAGUCAUGUGAGAAUUCUUUCAGACUGAGUUUAGAAAAAGAUAUAUAAGCCAACGAUUUCUUGACCAAAAACACAAGAAAUUUCUAGAGUCAAAGUAGGGUUGUAUGACCAUAACCUAGUAUGAAAGAGAGUUCAUUCGAUUAAGUAAGUAUGCCCGAGAGUGUGUUUCCACGGAAACAAUUAUGUGCAAACGGUUGAAGAUGGGUUGAACGAAGACAUCAAACUUUUAGUCGGGAUACUUGAGGUGAAAGAAUUUGUAGUUUUAGUUGAAAGAGCUUGCAAAGUCGAGGAACUUAGCAAAGAGAAGAUCAAAGCCGAAUUUGAAGCUAGAAGUUCAAAGAAGAGAUUUGAAGGGAAGUCUCAACAAUCGAUGUCAAAGAAAUCUAAAGAACGUCAUUAUUGACCUACUAUUUUUGUGGGGCAUUUUAGUCAAGAUAGAGAUGAGAGAUACUCCAGUUCUGAACCCUAGGCUACAUCUGUAGCUAGUGUGGGUAGUGUUAGAAAUGCUAAACCCAAGUGCAAACACUAUAAUAGGCCACAUAAUGGCAAAUGUCGGGUAAAGAGUGGUGUAUGUUUCUGGUGUGGUUCAUUCGACCACUACAUUGGAGAUUUCUCUGAGAAGUUUGAGAAAGAAAAAGCUCAAACUGUGAGGUUGAGCGAUACAGCUGCUAGAGGGAGACCACCUCGAAACACUGGAAAUAUGAGUGGUAGUCGAGGGAUACCGCAGUGAGAUUGGAGGCACGAGUGCCAGCCGGAGCUUAUGCCAUUCGUGCUCAUGAAGAUGCGUCAGUGCCAGAUGUUAUCACCGGUACUUUUUCUCUUUAUAAUACUGAUGUAACUUCUUUGAUUGAUCUGGGGUCAACCCAUUCUUACGUAUGUGCAAAAUUAGUGUCUAGUAAGAGUUUGCCUGUAAAGUCCACUAAAUUUGUGGUUAAAGUAUCGAACCCAUUAGGUCAGUAUGUCCUAGUUGAUAAGGUCUACAAGAAUUGUCCUUUGAUGACUCGGUGUUACAAUUUUCCAGCUGAUUUGGUGCUUUUACUGUUUGAUGAGUUCGAUGUAAUCUUGGGUAUGGAUUGGUUAACUCUGCAUGACGCUGUUAUGAACUGUAAACGAAAGAUUAUUGAGUUGAAAUGUCAGAAUGAUGAGAUUUACUGUAUUGAAUCUGUUGAUUUGAGUGGUUUACCUGUCGUGCUAUCGACGAUAUUAGCACAGAAGUAUGUGAAAAAGGGUUGCGAGGCUUACCUUGCAUAUGUACUGGAUACUAAAGUGUCAGAAUCGAAGAUUGAAUCAGUGUCGGUGGUCUGUGAAUAUUUGGAUGUGUUCCCAGAAGAAUUAUCCGAGUUACCACCAAUCAGAGAAGUUAAAUUUGCUAUUGAGUUAGUAUUGGGAACAUCACCAAUAUCGAUAGCUCCGUACAGAUGGCUCCAACAGAGUUGAAAGAGUUGAAAGAGUUGAAAGAGUUGAAAGCUCAGUUGCAAGAGUUAACAGACAGAGGUUUUGUGUGACCGAGUUUCUCGCUUUGGGGUGCGUCGGUUCUAUUUGUAAAGAAGAAAUAUGGAUCAAUGAGAUUAUGCAUCGACUAUCAACAACUUAACAAGGUUACGAUUAAGAAUAAGUAUCCUUUGCUGAGGAUUAAUGAUUUGUUUGACCAGUUGAAAAGAGCAACAGUAUUUCCAAAGAUUGACUUAUGAUCCGGUUAUCAUCAGCUGCGGGUUAAAGAUUCAGAUGUAUUGAAAACUACAUUCAUGACUAGGUACGGGCAUUAUAAAUUCCUUGUUAUGCCAUUUGGAUUAACUAAUGCUCCUGCGGUGUUUAUGGAUUUGAUAAAUCGUAUAUUUAGACCAUUUUUGGACCAAUUUAUUGUUGUGUUGAUUGAUGAUAUAUUGAUAUAUUCUCGGGACGAAUCUGAACAUACUGAGCAUUUGAGAAUUAUAUUACAGACUCUUUGAGAUAAACAACUAUUUGCUAAAUUUACCAAGUGCGAGUUUUGGCUCCUAGAAGUUGGAUUUUUUGGACACAUUGUGUCGGUAGAUGGCAUCCAAGUUGAUCCGAGCAAGAUUUUAGCGAUUGUUAACUGGAAACCACCAAGAAAUAUUUCCAAGCUCAGAAGUCUCUUGGGAUUAGCGAACUAUUAUUGAAGAUUUGUUAAGGAUUUCUCAAUGAUAGUUACACCGAUGACUCGAUUAUUAUAGAAAGAUGUAAAGUUUAAGUGGUCUGAGAAAUGUCAACAAAGUUUCAAUCAGUUGAAAGCACUGUUAACAGUAGUGCCAGCUUUAGUUCAACUGGAGUCGGGAAAAGAGUUUGUAAUUUACAACGAUGCAUCGUUGAACAGUUUAGGAUGUGUUUUAAUGCAAGAAGGCAAAGUGACAGUGUAUGCUUCCAAACAAUUAAAGAUGCACGAGAAGAAUUAUCCGACUCACGAUCUAGAGUUGGUUGCAAUCGUGUUUGCGUUAAAAAUUUGGUGGCAAAACUUGUUCGGUGAGAAGUGCCACAUAUUUACAGAUGACAAAAGCUCGGCAGCGAAGAUGGCUCGAAUUAUUGAAGGAUUAUGAGCUAGUGAUUGAUUACCAUCCGGGAAAAGCGAAUGUAGUCGCGGAUGCUUUGAGUAGAAAAUUUUUAUUCGCUUUACUAGCGAUGAACAUGUAGUUGAAUUUAUCUGAUGAUAGUUCAAUCUUAGCUGAGUUAAGAGCUAAAUCGACAUUUUUACAACAAAUUUGUGAGGCUCAGAAAUGUGAUAGAGAUUUGCAAGCUAAAAGAGCACAGUGCGAGUCAAUUAUUAAUUUAGAGUUUCAAAUCGGAUCCGAUGAUUGUUUAUUGUUUCGAGGUAGAGUUUGUGUGCCGAAGAAUCCUGAGCUCAUACAGAGAAUUUUACACGAAGCUCACAGUGGUAGCUUGUCUGUUCAUCCGGGGAUCAAUAAGAUGUAUGGUGAUUUGAAAUAGAUGUACUGGUGGUUAGGUAUGAAACGUGACAUUUCGAAGUUUGCAUCAAAAUGCUGGAUUUGUCAACAAGUCAAAUCCGAACAUCAUGUACUUUCAGGACUGCUGCAACCAGUGAUGAUACCGGAGUGGAAUGGGAUAGAAUUACGAUGAAUGUCGUAUCAGGAUUACCUCUGUCUCCGAAAAGGAAAGAUGCUAUCUAGGUCGUUGUUGAUCAGUUGUCGAAGACCGCACAUUUUAUUCUGUUACGUACAGACUUCUCUCUAGACAAAUUAGUCGAGUUGUAUAUUUCUGAGUUUAUGAGAUUGCACGGAGUACCAGUAUCCAUCAUUUCAGAUAGAUAUCGAUGAUUUACAUCACGAUUUUAGAAGAAAUUGUAAGAGGCUUUGGGUACGCGAUUGCAUUUUAGCACUGCAUUUCAUCCCAAAAUCGAUGGUCAGUCUGAGAGAGUAAUUCAAAUUCUUGAGGAUAUGCUAUGUUGCUGUGUUCUAGAGUUCCAAGGUAAUUGGGAAAACUAUUUAUCGUUGGUUGAAUUUGCAUAAAAUAAUAACUUUCAAUCGAGCAUUAAGAUGGCACCGUAUGAAGCUUUGUGUGGUUGUGAAUGCCGAACUCUAUUAUACUGGACCGAUCUUAAUGAGGAAAAGAUACACGAGGUUGAUUUGAUCCAAGAAAUUGAAAAGAAGGUGAAAGUGAUUCGUGACAGUUUGAAAGCCGCUUCUGAUAGACGAAAAUUGUAUGCGGAUAUGAAGCAUAAAGAUGUUGAGUUUCAGGUCAGAGAUAAAGUGUUUUUGAAAGUAUCGCCUUGGAAGAGAAUUCUUCGUUUUUGUCGUAAAGGAAAGUUGAGUCUGCGUUUUAUCGGACCGUAUGAGAUUACCGAGAGAAUUGGGCCGGUGGCUUAUCGACUUGACUUACCGUCAUAGUUGGAAAAGAUUUAUAAUGUGUUUCAUGUAUCUAUGUUACGACGGUACUAAUCAGAUCCUUUGCAUAUAAUUUCUCCAACCCAGGUUGAGAUUCAGCCUAACAUGUCGUAUCAUGAAGAACCGAUCAGAAUUUUAGCACGACAGAUCAAAGAGUUGAGGAAUAAAAGAAUAGCUCUAGUAAAAGUUCUUUGGCAUCGUCACGGGAUUGAGAAGGCUACUUGAGAACCUAAGGAAACCAUGAGAAAACAGUAACCUAACCUAUUUUCCGGUAAGAUUUUCGAGGACAAAAAUUCCUAAGGGGGGAGAGUUGUAAUGACCUGUUUUCGGUGAAAUCAGAACAGUGGUUUUGGGACCACAAAUCCGAGGUCAUAAAAUUUAUUCUAAUAUUAUUUUGUGGUCUAUAGUAUGUUAGAAUUAUGGUAUAAAAAUUUCGUUAAGAAAAUUUACCGUUUGUAUGCUCAAUUUGUGAAAUAGGACUAAAUCGCAUAAAAUGUGAAAGUAGAGGUCCUUAUUGAGCAAUUAGACCACUAAUUGAGUUAGUGGAUGUGCAUGGCGUAAAAAUCAUGAAAAGUCAAAGUUGGUAAGGGUUGGUAAUUUGAUGACUAAAGUUAAAUUAAAUAAAAUAAAACCAAAGGGGUCAUCUUCCUCCUCCUUUCUCAACCGAAAAUUUCAGCAAACUAAGAGCAUAGGAAAGCUUGAAUUUUCAGCCACAAAGUCCCUUGCAUGUAAGUUAUUUCAGUGGUUGUUUUUGUUGAUUUUUGUGUUUUUGGAACCCUUGUAACUUAAGUUAGCUAAUUAGGGGGCUAAUUUGCAAUAUGAUUGAGAGUCUAGGGUUUUUGGAAAAAAAAAUUCAUGUUUUCUUAAAAAUUCGUAGAGAACUCAGUUUAGUCCCGAAUCACUUCUAAUGUCUAUCUGGGGCCUUAAGGGCUCGUAUUAGGGACUGUCUAAAUGUAUUUAAAUGGUUUUUGAUACGAAUGAUAAAUAUAUACUUCAUGUGUGAUUAUUUGACUUAUAAGUUCGAUAAUGCUCCGUAACCUUGUUCUGGCGUCGACUACGGGUUAGGGGUGUUACAGGAUGUGUGGCGCACUUGCUUAUAUUCUUAGCGACUUUCCCUUUCUUUUUGAGAUUAAUACAUUCUAUCUUUUUUUUUUAAGUGCUUGUCGUGAUAUUUAUUUUUCGAAUUUGACAAAUUGUUAAAAUAAAAAAAAUCUAAAGAGUUUAUUUAAAAGUUGUAUUAUAAUUUAUUGGGGCUAAAAUUUAUAUAUAGGAAAAUUAAUUUUGUUUUAAUUUUUUUAAGUUUUAAGAGAAAAUAUGGCUAUAAUAUUAUUUUUGUUUUCUAAUAUAUAUUUUCAAUUCACCCAUUUAAACUAAAUUAAUUAAUGAUUUUAUUUAUUUAUUUUUCAUUAAAAGUAAUUUUUUAUUUCAUGCAAUUAAUGUAAAUUAAUAUUAUUGAAAUUGUUGAGCAUAAUUAAAAUAUUACACCAAAUAAAACCUUCAAAACAAUAAACAAAAGCUUGAAUGAAAAUAAUAUAGACUUCAAAACCAUAAAUAAAAACUACUAGUUGAAUUACAUAUUGGUCACUCGAAUUCAUAAAGUUAUAAAAUAGUAAUAAAAUUAUUCGAAGUUUUUAUUUAAGUUACUUAACAGUUAAAAUCGUUAUUGUAUAGUUUUCCCCGUUCGCAUCACUUGCACAAAUCGAAAACUUUUCUUCCCCUUUUCUUGUACGGUUCAAUUUCUUUUCAUAUCUACGAACUAAAAUCCAAAUAACUUUCUUCUUUGAUCUCCAACACUGACUGUCAGAUCGACUUGGAUCUAAGUUAUGUUCUUCUAUUUCUUGAUGGGUACUGAUCUACCAUACUAUUCGCCGAAUUGUUGUUUCAAGCUUUUAAACCAAACUUAAAGCUAAUAACUUAAGUUAAAUCUGUUGAAUAGUUUAGUGAUUAUUUUAUAUCUAGUUAAUUAAUCAAAAUAUAAACUUAUUAAUAUUUAAUAUCCUGCGAUCUAAUUUAAAAAAAAAAAAUCCAUCUUUAUUGCAUGUCAUGCGACUGCAAGUUAAUUAAUUACAACAUGUUCUUUUAUGUCUUUAAUAAAACAAUCGAAAUUGCAGCAAGGGCCGCCGACAGAUUUCUCAUUCUGUUCUUUGUUUUCAACCAUCAAUUUCAUUCACCAUUUUCGUUAAAGCAAUUUUCCUAUACGAAACAUCUUUAUUCCCCUUCACUAGCUACUUCGGGCAGGGACAGAAUCAAGAUAAAACAUUAGAGGAUAAUAGUCCCUACCAUUUUGAUAUCAAAUAAUUUAAGUUCAAUUUUAAUAAAAAAUUUUAAUAUGUUUUAAUUAAUUUCAAUUAAUAUCAAUUUAUAAUGAUGAUUAUCAUAACUCGUAUCAAUUAAUACGAGAUAUUAGUAUUUUAAACUAAUUUUUAAUAUUUUUAACUUACGAUUAUUAAUUUAAAAGUUGACAAGGAUGUAAGAGGUAAUUAAAGAAACUAGGGUCAAAUUGUUUAAUUCGAAAUUAGCAGGAACCUAGGAAAUAAUUUAAUAAAAAAAGUGGGGAUGGGCAAGGCCCCUCAUUUUGUUGUCCCUAUCUCAAAAUUUUUAACAAUUUUUAUUCAUCAUUCUUAUGUCCUCAAUUAGACAGUCCAAAUUACAAUACGAAGACCCACCAACAUUCACAGAUCCUUUAGCCAAUUUAGCAAAUUCAGCAGCUGAUUUCAAAAUCUCCUCCCUUUUUUCCACCAUUAAAUCAUUCGCCAUUUGCUCCACAACUCUUCUAUCACGCACAUCGUUCAUAUCUAAUCCUAAUUUCCACAAUUCCUCCACAAACCUACUGUUCAAUUGUUGGUCACCAAAGCAAGGCCAACAAAUCAUGGGCACCCCCGCCGUCACGCUCUCCAAAGUCAAAUUUCAUCUGCUAUGAGUCAAAAACCCACCGAUUGCCCCAUGGGCCAAGACGUCUUCCUGUGGAGCCCAAUCCACUAUGUACCCUCUUUCUUUUGUCUCUUCCUCAAGCUUCGUUGGUACACCGUCACAUGUUUAUCUGGAUAAUCCUAAAUCAAAGACUUUCAACCAACUCUGAAAGGAUCCGAACAGGAAUUGGUCAUGAUGAGUCAUUUUUGUGGUCACCAUAUAGAGGAUGUUUUACUAGUUUUUAGCGGCUGUUCAUGUUCAAAGAUCAUUGGUUAAAGUAAGCGAGAUUUACAGCAGGGAGAAAUAUCAUUGAUAAUGUAAUCACUGCAUAUGAAGUCUUACUCUUUAUGAAAACUAAGAAGAAUUUCUAAUGGAUUGUUGUCAAGAUUGAUUUGGAGAAAGCUUAUGAUCGUGUACGUUGGGGCUUCGUAAAAACUUCACUCCUUGCAGGUUUUGUGGAAUGAAGUUCUAACUUCAAAAUUCAAGCCUGUAAGGGGAAUUCCUCAAGGUUGCCCCUAUUUUUGUACCUUUUCGUCCUUUGCAUGGAGUGGUUGGGGCAUCACUUUCAUUCGACUAUUUCGUCAGAAAAUUGGAGCCUUAUUCGAUUAUAACGUGCAGCGCCAAACCUUUCACAUAUUUUCUUUACAGAUGAUUGAUGGGUGUCGAAUCCACAUUAUAAACCUACGCCUAAUUUGCAAUUUAAGCAGUAUAGGGAGUAGGGUCGAUCCCUCAAAGGCUGGGUUUACUGCAAAUUGUUGCUCUCUUGACCAGAUUUAUGUUGGGGCAGUUGUCGUGCCCAAGACGUUCGAGAGGAUAAAAUUUGAAACCUGAAAUAAAUAAAUAAAAUGCGUAAAAAGUAAAAGUUGAAGAUAAAAUAAUAAAAAGCAGUUAAAUAAAUUUGAAGAAAAAUGAAUUAAACUAAGCUCAGCUUUAGGCACGGGUUUUUCUCGUCUUUGAACCGAUCCUCGAAAUUAGAUGAACUCCUCUUUUCCAAUAAGCUAGUUAUAGCUGCCAAGGACGUCUCGGACACCAACUCUUCCUUGUGUAAAUUAGUUAUGGAACAUCCAAUAACUAACCCUUACCGAUCGAACAACUAACGAAACGUUCGUGAUUAGAACUCCAGCAGCUUUGCAUUCUAGAAGAGCCUAGCUCAAACCAAUGCCCUCAACCGCGUAGGGCAUUUAAAUUCGAUCACUACUUCCCUUGACGGAACCAAACAACAAUCUCCACUUGGCACGCCGAUGUGUUCACAGAAAACCGAUUAGAAUCGAUCCUUUCGGAAUUCCAACUGUACGUCUAACCACACUAAAUCAAACGAUGUCUUUUUUGACGUAGUGUUGAUUUGACUUUGUGAGUUGACAAAAUCAUACUCUUAAUCCGGAGAAAUAAUAAGUACUAGAAUUUAGGAGUUUAAUUGCUCGGGUUCGUAACUCAUGGAUCUUGACGAGGCUAACUCCGACCUAAAGCUGAAAAUGGAUUUAGUUAACUAAAGUUUGGGGCAUGUUGGUAUUGGAUAAAUUAAAUAAGGUAAAAUGGGUGAAAAGAAUGGUUAGCUACUGGAAAUGAAAAGGGAAUUUGAAAAAAAAGGAAUUGCAAAUGGUUUAAGUUGGUGACUAACUAGGAAUUAAUAAGUUGAAGAAAAAGAAACUAAAAGCAAUAAAAUAAAUUCGUGAGUAGAAAGGAGAGAAACUAUUGAAAGAUGAAAGCUUGAUUUAUGAGUUGAUUCAAGACUUGAUGAUUAAAAUGAACAAAGUAGUCCACUAUUUAUACUAGUGGCUUUGCUAAAUUAAGAGCCAACUAGUAUAGAAAAUCAAGGAAUAAAAUAAAAAAAUCCCUACAUAAUCUCCCACUAAGUCAAAAAUUUCAGCUAAUUAAUCUUGGAAAAAUUCUGCUUUGGCCCUCCUUCUUUGCUUCUUUCUUCAAUCUAGCCCAAUUGUUUCUUUUUUCUUCUAUUUAGCCCCAAAUUGCAUCCCUGUACAAAAUUCAGUAAAUAUGAAAAAAUUAGUGGUGCAUUCUCAUAAAUUAACCAAUUUAAUUACAUAAAAUAUGUAACUUUAGCAUUUAAUCUAAUCCCCCUAUUUAGUUCAUGCUAAUCCUCGAGCAUUAUGCAUGUAUCUGCAAAAGGAAAAUUUUUCUCCAAAAUAGGACUUGACCACCAUGGUUUGCACAAUUCAACAAUUUAAUCCUAGCACAUUAACAUUUCAAAUAACCUAGCCUAAGAAGUAAGUAAAUAUAUUUCAAAAUUUAUUAGAGAUAGACUUACCCUUCAUUUUAUUUUAUUAUUUAUUUAUUUUUGUACUUAGGACAUUUUUGAAUUUUUUUACGCGAGACAUAAUGACAACCCAAGCACCAUGUUUCGGUUACUCAAUUCGGAUGUCUCUAAGCGGGUUAUUUCACCCUACUCAUGAUAACUUGUUAGCGGAGUGCGUGCAAAGAAAUUGGACAGCCACACGAACUUUUUUAUGCGAGAUGUGAUAACAACCCAAGCACCACGUUCCGGUUACUCAGCCCGAUGUACAACCCUAAAUUUUCACUCUUAACAUUCGUAUCAGAGGAGUAUUAUUAUUAUUUUUAUUUUUUUGUAUUCAAUUCCCAAAAAUAUCUUACCCACUAAGUCUAACUUAUUGAAAAGUUUAUGUGUAAAGAACUAAAUAGUUAAAUGGGUCAAACCAUAAGUGUACCAUCCCAAUUUAUCAAAAGAAAAAUUUUACCUUUCACAAAAAAACAUGCAAAAACAGCGACAACAGAUAAGCAAAUUAGAACCAAUUUAUAUUUCCCUCCCCCUACUUAUUUUACAUUGUCCCAAUGUAAUUUAAAGAAUAAAAGUAAAGAUAAGUAGGAGAAAAAGAAACUCCCCAUGUAUGUCAACGUCGUGGAGGGUGGUCUUGUAGGUGUGUCCACAGUGUUAAAUGGUGGGUAGGUGGAUUGGGCCUUGGCUGAAAUUAAAGGAAUUUUGUGGGUUGACAUGGGAAUUUAAUUUUGUCUUGGAAUGUACCCUGUAAAAAUAAAAUAAAAUAAAAAUAAAAUAGUAAAAAUAAAUAAUAAUAAUAAUAGGAAAAUUAAAAUUAAAAUAUUUUUUUUUCAAAUUUAUUAGCUAAGCUAUAAACUUAAGAAAUAAAUUAUUAAAAACCAAGACUACGAGAUUUGGUAAAACAGUCGUGAUAAAUGCACCAAGUAAGUUCCCAGGAAAGAGAGGUGAGUUACAAUGGACAUACUUAAGUAUCAAGUCUUUCCUUAGAUAGAACUAAUCCUCGACAUGCAUUUUCAUUUUCCAUUUUACCAAAAAAUUUAUUUGCAUAAAGGGAAAGAAAAUUUGGGUUGCCUCCCAACAGCGCUUUGUUUAACGUCGUUAGCUCGACGACCUGUUACUUAAAUUUUGAGCUCCUCGAGAAUAAUCUCCUCAACUGUGUGUGUUUAAAAUUCUCGUAAAAGGGUUUCAGCCGUUGAACAUUCACCUUAAAGCACUUUCGGGUUUCUUCGCUUUGAAUUUCCAUUGUACCAUUCGAGAAUAAAUUAGUAAUAGUAAAUGGACCUAUCCAUUUGGAUCGAAGCUUACCAGCUAAUCGCUCGAGCAUUUGAUCGAUGAAGGAAAGUGGAAAAUAGUCUUUUUGGGUAGCUGCAUUCAACUUCCUAUAAUCAAUACAAACCCUCCAUCCAUUUUGGACUCGAGUAGGGACUAGCUCUCUUGACGAAUUUUUCACCACUGUCACGCCAGUUUUCUUGGGCACGACAUGAAUCGGGCUAACCUAAUCACUGUCGGAGAUCGGGUAUAUUAUUCCAACAUCCAACAGUUUUUGGAUCUCCUUCUUUACUACCUCCAUCAUAGGUGGAUUAAGACGUCUCUGAGCAUCUCUCUUUGAUUUCGUGUUAUCUUCAAUGGAAAUUCUGUGCAUACAUGUAGAUGGACUUAGCCCUUUUAUGUCGGCUAUUGUCCAACCAAUAGCUUCCUUAUAAUCUCUCAGAACUCGAACUAGACUUUCCUCCUCGUCUUUGGUUAGUUUGCUUGACACUAUUACCGGUAAGGUGUCAUUUUCUCCCAAAAAGACUUACUUGAGGUAGUCUGGUAAUGCUUUAAGCUCCAAGGUUGGUGGUUGCAAAAUCGAAGGCAACAUUUUAGUUUGGAAAGGUAAUAGUUCAAAUUAGUUACCUCGAUUCGUCAACGAUGGUUGCGUCUCCAAGUGUUUGACGAUUUCUUGCAACGGAUCUCCUAUAAUUGAUAAUUCCUCGAGACGACUUAAAACAUCCAUGUCAAUGCUUCUGUAAAGGAUAGUUUCCAACUCAUCAUAGUCAUGAUAUUCAAAAUAAGAUUGAGUUAAACAAUCUAUACUAUCGAUGCUAGAAAUAUUUGAUAGUGAGUUAGGAUGACUCAUAGCUUCGUAGACAUUGAAUUUCACGAUUUCGCCAUCAAACUCCAUUGUUAGUGUUCCGCUCCAAAUGUCAAUUUUUGCAUUUGCGGUACUUAGAAACGACCUUCCAAGUAAAAUGUCAGACGAAUUAGUUGAGUUAUCAUCCUCCAUAUUAAUAAUGUAGAAAUUUGAAGGGAAAACUAAUUCGUUAACUUUAACAAGGACGUCUUCAAGCAACCCUUCAGGAUAGACUAUUGACUUGUCCGCCAACUGGAUUAUUACUCCUAUCUUUUUCAAAAGACCCGUGUUAAUAAACUUAUAAAUAGGAUAAGGCAUAAUGUUAAUGGAAGCCCCUAAAUCACACACGGCUUUCUUAAUGCCUACAUUACCUAUCUCACAGGAAAUAGCAAACAUAACUUGGUCCUUGUAUUUGGGCGGAACUUUCUUUUACAGUACUGCGGAGACAUUUUCUCCUACAUUUCCUCUUUCGUUACCUAUUAAUCUCCUCUUGCUAGUACAUAAUUCUUUGAGGAAUUUUGCAUAACGAGGGAUUUGUUUGAUAGCGUCGAGCAAAAGGAUAUUUACCUUCACCUUCCUGAAUGUUUCGAGGAUUUCUUUUUCCUCCUUCUCUUUCUUAUCCUUUGCGAGCCUCCCUAGAAAAGGAGGUGGCAUCACGACUGGUUUUUGAAUUUUUGAUUUCAGUCUGACUUUUGGAUCAGAGAUCUGCUUUUCCCGUUCCUUAUGCUGCCCAUGACUUUUGUCUAGAGCUGUUUCCAGAAUCUUUGUGCUACGAAGAGUUAUUACACUUACAUUCUACCUAGGAUUCGGCUCUGUCUGGGAAGGUAAUUUACCUUGAGAUUCUAAACAAUUAACUGCAAUCGAGAGUUUACUAACUUGAUUAGUUAACUCUUGUAUUGAUGCAUCUGUCUUCUGUUGGUAUUUUGUAGUAUCGACGGCAAGUCUCUCCAUAAUAGCUUCUAGAGAUGUGCUCGGCUUGGGUGGCAGUUGCGGUGGUUGCAAGGGUCUCGGUUGGUAUGACAGAUUAUAUCGGGGAUUGGCUCCGUAAUUUAAGUUGGGAUGAUCCUUCCACCUGGGAUUGUAGGUUCUUGAAAAAGGGUCAUAGCGUCUUUGCGGAGGUCCCGGAAAACCUCCGAUAGCAUCAACAUGUGCCGUUGAAUUUUCAUUAAGGAUUGGGCACAAGUCCGUCGGAUGUUCAGAUGUAGUACAAAUUCCAUACAGUUGGGUCAGAUUCUUCUUUUCUGUAAGCAUAUAUUGAACAAUAUUAGUAAGCUUAUCCAACUUAUCUUUUAAGAAUGAAACGUUUACCCCAUUAACUCGUCUUGUGGGUUCUGAAUUCGGCCGAUACUGUUGAGAAUUUGCCGCCAUGGUGGAUAUUAGUUCUCUUGCCCUUUGAGGAGUCAUAUUGACAAACGCCCCUCCACUAGCAGCGUCAAUCAUUUUCAUUUCCAUAGGGAGCAAACCCUCGUAAAAAUACUGAAGAAGUGAUUGCUCGGUCAAAUCGUUUUGAGGACAACUUGCACAGAGUUUUUUGUAUCGCUCCCAAUAGUCGUAGAGCGAUUCACUCUCCAUUUGGCGAAUUCCCACUAUAUCUCUCUUAAGUUCAGCUGCUCGCGAUGCUGGGAAAAAUCUAUCAAGAAAAACACGAGAUAAGUCAUCCCACGUUGUAAUAGUACCGGGGGUAAGUAAAAUAACCAUUCUCUUGCUGUAUCAACUAAAGAAAAAGGAAAGGCCCAAAGUUUAAUUUCAUCUUCGGUUACUCCCUGUGGUUUCAUGCUUGAGCAGACCAUGUGGAAUUCUCUCAAGUGGGUAUGUGGAUUUUCGUUCUUCAAGCCUCGAAUAGUGGGAAAAAGGUGAAUAAGGCCUGAUUUCAACUUGAACGGGGUUUCUUCGGCUGGAUAGUUGAUGCAUAACGGUGUUUGCUCGUUGGGAGCAGUGGCUAGUUGACGAAUGGUUCAGUUUGCCAUCCUUUCUAGUUCACCAACUUCUGCUUCUUUUGUUUCAAAAAGUGGUUUGGUCUCAGGUUUGACCACUUCGACUUGUUUCCCACAUCGAAUUGCCUUUGCACGAAUUGCUUGGCUCAACCUUUCGACGUCGGAUUCUAGGAUCCCUUGUCCUAGCUUAACUUCUAUUUUACUUGCACGUUUAAGAGCUUCUGUCUCUUUUCGUCGUGCUCGUGUUGAUUUCUCGAUCUCUGGGUCGUAUUCAAGAUCUCCUAAUGAAGAUCUAGUCAUGAAGUUGAUUUAAAAAAUUGUAAGUGUUGCCAGUCCUCGGCAACGGCACCAAAACUGAUGGGUGUCGAAUCCACCAAUAUAAACCUACACCUAAUUUGCAAUUUAAGCAGUAUAGGGAGUAGGGUCGAUCCCUCAGAGACUGGGUUUACUGCAAAUUGUUGCUCUCUUGACCAGAUUUAUGUCGGGGCAGUUUUUGUGCCCAAGACGUUUGAGGGGAUAAAAUUUAAAACCUAAAAUAAAUAAAUAAAAUGCGUAAAAAGUAAAAGUUGAAGAUAAAAUAAUAAAAAGUAGUUAAAUAAAUUUGAAGAAAAAUGAAUUAAAUUAAGCUCAGCUUUAGGCACAGGUUUUUCUCGUCUUUGAACCGAUCCUUGAAAUUAGAUGAACUCCUCUUUUCCAAUAAGCUAGUUAUAGCUACCAAGGACGCCUCGGACACCAACUUUUCCUUGUGUAAAUUAGUUAUGGAACGUCUAAUAACUAACCCUUACCGAUCGAACAACCAACGAAACGUUCGUGAUUUAGAACUCCGGUAGCUUUGUGUUGUAGAAGAGCCUAGCUCGAACCAAUGCCCUCAACCGCGUGGGGCAUUUAAAUCCGGUCACUACUUACCUUGAUGGAACCAAACAGUAAUCUCCACUUGGCAUGCCAAUGUGUUCACAGAAAACCGAUUAGAAUCGAUCCUUUUGAAAUUCCAACUGUACGUCUAACCACAUUAAAUCAAACGACGUCUUUUUUGACUUAGUGUUGAUUUGACUUUGUGAGUUGACAAAAUCAUACUCUUAAUCCGGAAAAAUAAUAAGUAUUAGAAUUUAGGAUUUUAAUUGCUCGGGUUCGUAACUCACGGAUCUUGACGAGGCAAACUCCGACCUAAAGCUGAAAAUGAAUUUAGUUAACUAAGGUUUGGGGCAUGUUGGUAUUGGAUAAAUUAAAUAAGGUAAAAUGGGUGAAAAGAAUGGUUAGCUACUGGAAAUGAAAAGGGAAUUUGAAAAAAAAGGAAUUGCCAAUGGUUUAAGUUGGUGGCUAACUAGGAAUUAAUAAGUUGAAGAAAAAGAAACUAAAAGCAAUAAAAUAAAUUCGUGAGUAGAAAGGAGAGAAACUAUUGAAAGAUGAAAGCUUGAUUUAUGAGUUGAUUCAAGACUUGAUGAUUAAAAUGAACAAAGUAGUCCACUAUUUAUACUAGGGGCUUUGCUAAAUUAAGAGCCAACUAGUAUAGAAAAUCAAGGAUUAAAAUAAAAAAUCCCUACAUAAUCUCCCACUAAGUCAAAAAUUUCAGCUAAUUAAUCUUGGAAAAAUUCAACUUUGGCCCUCCUUCUUUGCUUCUUUCUUCAAUCUAGCCCAAUUGUUUCCUUUUUGUUCUAUUUAGCCCCAAAUUGCAUCCCUGCACAAAAUUCAAUAAAUAUGGUAAAAUUAGUGAUGCAUUCUCAUAAAUUAACCAAUUUAAUUACAUAAAAUAUAUAAGUUUAGCAUUUAAUCAAUGAUUUAAUGACUUAUAAUGGAGCUAAUUUGGAGCACAGUGGUUUUCUUAAAAUUUUUUUGGAUAACUUUUGUGAGCUUUCUGGUCAUAUGGUCAAUGCUAGGAAGACUAAUAUCUUUUACUCUGCUAGUGUUAAGGAAUAUUUAAGGAAGGGAUUUAAUAGUAUCCUUAGUUUCCAAGAAGUUAAUGAUUUGGGGCAUUAUUUGGGAGUCCCUCUUUUUCAUCAAAGAGUUACAAAAAACACUUUGGAUUUCUUGGUGGAAAGAGUUCGUAAUUGCUUAUCUAGCUGGGACACUAAAAAGCUUUACUUUGCAGGGAAGGUCACUUUAGCACAAACGGUUUUGUUGACUAUUUUGAGCUAUCUCAUGCAAUCUAUUUUGGUUCUGAAGGGUAUUUGUGAUUUAAUAGAAGAAAUGGCAAGGCAAUUCAUCUGGGGUGCUUUUGAUGGAAAAAGGAAAAUGACUUUAGUUUGGUGGGAUUCCAUUUUCCAACCUAGAUCUCACGAAGGUCUUGGGUUUCAUUGUCUGUGCAGUCAAAAUAAAACCUUCAUGAUGAAAAUUGGUUAUAGUCUUAUCACCAAGACUAAAGCUUUAUAGGUUAGGGUUCACAGAGAAAAGUAUGGAAUUAAUGAGACUAUGCCGGAUUGUAUCAUGAGACAUAGAUGCUCCUUUAUGUGGAAAUCUGUGGCCAAGGUUUGGCCUCUACUGUGUAAUAAUAUGAUUUAGUUAGUGGGUAAUGGACGGAUCGUUCGUUGCUGGGAGGUUGCUUGGGUACAUAACGUGAGACCUUUAAUCAAUCAUGUCCCAAGUCAUGUGAAUAUCUAUUAUGAUUGUAAAGUGAAUGAGAUGGUAAAGGAAAACGGUACAUGGAACCUUGACUUAUUUCAGGUAUUGUUGCCAGGAGAAGUCGUCCUACCUAUCAUUAGCAUUCCACCUGUAACACCCCUUACCCGUAUUCCACACCAGAAUAAGGUACGAGGUAUUACAUGAACACAUACACUUGUAAACGUAUUUAACCGAGUUAUAGAAUUUCAUCUAAAUUAAAACUUUCAAAAUUAUUAACAUGCUUCUAAAAUUUUUCACAAUAUAUUCUCAAAAUAUUAUAAUCAUAAUAAUUAGGGCCUACGAGACCCGAUACAUACUCAUGCAAUUCAAUGCACAAUUUUUCAUGCUCACAAUUUAAAUCAUAUCACUAGCAAUUUCCAUUUAAUUCACGUACAAUUCAAUGACAUUAAGUUCAACACUAAUACGUAUUUACCAUUUAACUCAACGUUUAUCGAUUAUACCAUUCAAUAACACAUUUAUGAAAUUCUCAAUUUUGCAAUGAAAAUAUAACUUUAGCUUAAAUAACAACAUCAUCCAGGUAUAAAUACACUACCACUUAUCCAUUUACUUUAAUUCUUUUGGACCCAUUUGUCACUUACCAUCCUUAAUCAAAUUAGGGAACGGUUACGGAAAAUUGAGUACUUCACUUCCACUUUGCCAUAGUAUAACUAUGGUCUUACGUAUGAUCACUUAUCACUUGUCCCUGAUCAGAUAAGUGUAGCUAGACUACCACUUAUCACUUUGUUACUUGAUCAGAUAAGUAUAGCUAAAGCUACCACUUAUCACUUUGUCACCUUAUCAGAUAAGUGUAGCUAAAGCUACCACUUAUCACUUUGUCACUUGAUCAGAAGUACUCAAAUCCGGCGUUCCGCUCAAUUUGAUCAUUUAUUCAGUUUUCGCAUUUUUAUUUUAUUCUCAUUUCAUCAAUAAAUAUAUAUUUCAUCAUAAAUUAUAUAAUUCAUGAAAUUAACAUUUAAUCAUUAAAUUUCAGCAAUAUGAACUUACUUUUCAUUAUCUUUCCACACUCGUUUUCUAUGCACAUCACACAAGAUAUAAACGUAUCAUUCAACCAUAGUCGCAAGCUAGUGUAUUUAAACAUAACUCUUUUUGGGGCUAACCACAUGAUAAACCAUUUCAAUACAUAACUUAUAAAUUUAACGUGGCAUAGUCUAGCCACUACUUGGCCAAAGCCUAAGCAUGUAUACCAAAUAUGUUAGCCAAAUACACAUAUAGCAUAAGCAUUAUAAGCAUGGAUGAGCACAACAUUUAUUCAUCUAUCAGGCUUACCAACAUGUGUUAAUUCAUAAACCAUUCAUGAUAUUAUUUCAUGCCAAAUCAUAUACUGAAUAUACCAUACACACACAUACUAUGAAACUUUAUUUUCACACAUAAGCUUAAACCAUGACCAAUAAUGCACAAAUAUAAGCGUCAUUUCUAUUUCAUCGUUUAUCAAUUGUAAUCAAGCUUGUAACCAAUUAUACACAAAUCAUUCAUAUAUUUCCCAAUUUUCCUCUUCCUCCUCUCCAUUCCACAUCCUUAAUGUGUAUAACAAACUUAAACAACAUUAGCUAUAAUUUCGCAAUUCACUCACAUGUAUAUUCAAAGCUAUUUAUCCGAGUCAGAGUAACUAAAUUAUUUUUAUUCGGAGCUACAGAGAUCCAAAUUAAGAUCCAUUAAUUUUCCCUAAAACUAGACUCACAUAUCUUCUUACCAUAAAUUUUUAGAGUUUUUCGUUCAGCCAAUUAGUACAGUUUAUUCUUUAAAAUUUCCACUAUUUCCCUGAAACUAAAAUGAAUUAUCUAAUUGUACAGAAUUCCAAUGAUGUUUUUGUUUGUUUCCUUUGAAAAUAGAUUCAUUAAGGAUUUUAGGCAUAUAAAUUAUAACUCAUGAUUAUUUUUUCUUCAAUUUUUUUAUGAUUUUCCAAAAUCAGAACAGGGGAACCCGAAAUCAUUCUGACAUUGUCUCACAAAAUUUAUUAUAUCUCAUGAUUUACAAUUUCAUACUCAAUAAGCUUUAAUUUCAUAUUUUAUUCACCCUCUAAUUCAAUUCUCACAAUUUUUGGUGAUUUUUCAAAGUUAUACUACUGCUGCUGUCCAAAACUGCUUUAGUGCAAAAUAUUGAUUUCCAUUUUGCCCCAAAUUUCACAUUUCAUACAAUUCGGUCCUUUCUCAAUUAACCCCUCAAUUAAUCUAAUUUUCUCAAUUAAUACUUUACCUAAGCAUUAUAAGUUGUUUCACAACUAUUGAAAUUCAGAAUUUCCACAUAUAACUCUAUUUUCAAACUCUUUUACUAUUAGGUCCCAAACAUUCACUUUCUAUUCAAUUCUUUCAAUAAAAUCAGCAUAUGAACAAUUUAAAACUCUAAUUCCAUGCUAAAUCAUCAUAUACUUUCAGCACGUAUUCAUAGCAACUUUCAACUUCUUUCAUAGAAUCAAAAACUAAUGAAUACAAUAAGUGGGCCUAGUUGUAAAAGUCACAAAAUCACAAAAUUUUCAAGAAAUAAUGAAGAAUUGAACUUACCUGCAGUAAAAAUAGGAAGAACCAGCUUAAGGAAACCCUUCUAUGGUGUGUUUUCUGAUGAGAAUGCAGAAAAAUAAAGAGAAAUCUAGAUAAUUCUACUUUGGUCCUAACUUUAUUAAGUACAUUUUGCAAUAUUCCAAUUUUGCCCUUAAUUCUCCUUACUUUGUUGCUGAUUUCAUGCCUUUGUCGUCCAGCCCAAAUAGACCUUGGGUCUAUUUUCCUUUUAAGUCCUCUCCCUUUUAUCAUUUAAGCUAUUUAAUCAUUUCCCAUAAUUUUACAUUUGUUACAAUUUAGGCCUUUUUGUUCAAUUAAUUAUCGGAACUUUAAAAUUUCUUAACGAAACUUUAAUACUAAAUUUUUAACACUCCAUAAAUAUUUAUAAAAAAUAUUUAUGGCUCGGUUUAAAAUGCCAGAGGUCUUGAUACCUCAUUUUCGAUUCUAAUUAUUUUAAUAUUUAUUUCUAGUGCACUAUUCACUAUUUCAAAAUUUUUACUAACUUCACAUUUAACUUAUACUCACUAAAUUAAUAAUAUUUUCUACCCAUUUGUCGAAUUUAGUGAUCUCGAAUCACCGUUCCGACACCUCUGAAAAUUCAGGCCAUUACAUUUUUCCUCUCGUCAAAUUUGUGGUCCCAAAAUCACUGUUCCGACUAGACCCAAAAUCGGGCUGUUACAACUCUCCCCCUUUAGGGAUUUUCGUCCCCGAAAAUCUUACCAGAAGAAGUUACUUCCAACUCUUAUGAAACACUUUCACUAACUUUCCAGAAUCACAAAUCAAUUUAAUCUCGCAUAUCUCUUUUCAAUAAAUAUAUCUCUAUAUCAUACUUUCUGAAAUAUAAAUUUUUCAUUCCGACUAUUAGUCUUCAUACUCGUGUAUGCAUAGAAUUUAUUCUCUUAGCUAAAGACAUGCUUAAAUACAUAUAACUAAAAUCACAUCUCGAUAAUUCAGUUUAUUUUAAUAAAACAACUGAAUUAAUUUCAAUUAUCAAACACUAACAUGUCCAAAAUACUCUUUUUCUUCAUGCUGAGGAUACAGCUCAAACACACAAUCUUUCAACAAAUUUUUUUGAGCAUGCGAAUCAGAGAUCCUUUAAACCGUAUUAGUUCAAGGAAUUAGAUAUUCUGAUUGAACUCAUUAACUUUAUUCAAAUUUACCUGAGGAAAAAUUCCAUCAUACAAUUUUGAGCUUAUGCUCUCAUUAUUUAUACCCUUACUGAUGACAAUUCCCUUACACAAAAAUCAGUGAAGUCUAGAUACCAGAAUCACCACAUGUCAGCUCUAGAAUUUCAUCGUAACAAAAUAAUACACUUUCUAAAUAUGCAUGCAAAACGGAACAAUAACCGGUCAUAAACCAGCUAGACCAACAGGACUUUCGUCUAACAUCAUAGUUAGCUAACAUUCUCACCCAUUUGAUCUUUUAACUUCACCAUUUGUUCACUUUAUAGCCAUAUCAAUAAUCAUCAUUUUCUUAUAUUUCAGAUAAAUAUAUAUAACCAUACAUAAGAAUGCAAAUCACUAUUUCUUCUUUUCAGUCACAAUUUCAAAUGACAGAUUCAUGUAAAUGAGCUCAAUAUCAUUAUCUGUUUAAUUUUUGUCACUUAAAUUCACAUACACAUAUUUUAUUAAAAUAACCUGACAAACAUAAUCUCUGAAUGGUGAGAUCACAUAAUUGAGCUCAAUUUCACUGUUCAAUAUGUUUUAUCAAAUAAAAUUUGCUUAACACUUACCACAAUUUGCCAAAUUACAGAACAUCUUACUGAAUUGAGUACUUCGUUUUCACAUUGCCAUAGUCCAACUAUGGUCUUACAUAUAAUCACAUAUCACAUACCGAUGCCAUAGCCCAACUAUGGUCUUACACGAAGAUCACAUAAUCACAUUUUCACAUGUUGUAUGGUCAAACCAUGGUAUUUUCCGUCAAUUCAUCAUAUAUCACUGAAUGAAAGUACUCAUUCCUGCGUUCUACUCAAUUUGAUCUUCCAAUUCAAUUUUUAUGCUAUUAUAAUAUUUAUAGUUCAAUAAUAAAAACAUAAACAAAACAUCAUAUUAUUUAUAAUUUAACAAUUAAACAUAAGAUUCUAUCAAAUAAAUAUACUGAUUACACUUAUUCAAGCAAGUGUACAUAAACAUACAUUCCAUCUAUUUGUGUAUAUUUGCUUACCAUAUUUACUUAAUCAAAUAUGUUGAGGACAUAAUAUCAUAUGCAUGCCAAGCAAACACGGAUGGGCUUAUCAUCAUAUAAACUUUCAUUUUAUUCUACGUUUCCACAUUUCUCAUCUCAACUUAAGGUUAUCUCAUUUCGUACAUUAACACAUACUUAUCAUAAACACAUUUCAAUCACAUCAAUAUAAAUUUUUUUAGCAUUUUUUCUAAAAUAACUCGAUUGGAAGUAAUAAGGCAUUACCGAAUAUCACGUUAUCACGAGUAGUAAUACGACAUAUAUAGCUAGACUCACACACGCUACGUUAGUCCAAAAAUCGACUAAACCGUAGCUCUGAUACCACUAAAUGUAACACCCCUUAUCCGUAUUCCACACCAGAAUAAGGUACGAGGUAUUACAUGAACACAUACACUUAUAAAUGUAUUUAACCGAGUUAUAAAAUUUCAUCUAAAUUAAAACUUCCAAAAUUAUUAACACGCUUCUAAAAUUUUUCACAAUAUAUUCUCAAAAUAUUAUAAUCAUAAUAAUUAGGGCCUACGAGACCCGAUACAUACUCAUGCAAUUCAAUGCUUCAUUUCCAUUUCAUUCAAUGCGCAAUUUUUCAUGCUCACAAUUUAAAUCAUAUCACUGGGAAUUUCCAUUUAAUUCACUUACAAUUCAAUGACAUUAAGUUCAACACUAAUACGUAUUUACCAUUUAACUCAACAUUUAUCGAUUAUACCAUUCAAUAACACAUUUAUGAAAUUCUCAAUUUUGCAAUGAAAAUAUCACUUUAGCUUAAAUAACAACAUCAUCCAGGUAUAAAUACACUACCACUUAUCCAUUUACUUUAAUUCUUUUGGGCCCAUUUGUCACUUACCAUCCUUAAUCAAAUUAGGGAACGGUUACGGAAAAUUGAGUACUUCACUUCCACUUUGCCAUAGUAUAACUAUGGUCUUACGUAUGAUCACUUAUCACUUGUCCCUGAUUAGAUAAGUGUAGUUAGGCUACCAUUUAUCACUUUAUCACUUGAUCAGAUAAGUGUAGCUAAAGCUACCACUUAUCACUUUGUCACUUGAUCAGAAGUACUCAAAUCCGGCGUUCUGCUCAAUUUGAUCAUUUAUUCAGUUUUAGCAUUUUUAUUUUAUUCUCAUUUCAUCAAUAAAUAUAUAUUUCAUCAUACAUUAUAUAAUUCAUGAAAUUAACAUUUAAUCAUUAAAUUUUAGCCAUAUGAACUUACUUUUCAUUAUCUUUCCACACUCGUUUUCUAUGCACAUCACACAAGAUAUAAACGUAUCAUUCAACCAUAGUCGCAAGCUAGUGUAUUUAAACAUAACUCUUUUUGGGGCUAACCACAUGAUAAACCAUUUCAAUAUAUAACUUAUAAAUUUAACGUGGCAUAGUCUAGCCACUACUUGGCCAAAGCCUAAGCAUGUAUACCAAAUAUGUUAGCCAAAUACACAUAUAGCAUAAGCAUUAUAAGUAUGGAUGAGCACAACAUUUAUUCAUGUAUCAGGCUUACCAACAUGUGUUAAUUCAUAAACCAUUCAUGACAUUAUUUCAUGUCAAAUCAUAUACCGAAUAUACCAUACACACACAUACCAUGAAACUUUAUUUUCACACAUGAGCUUAAACCAUGACCAAUAAUGCACAAAUAUAAGCAUCAUUUCUAUUUCAUUGUUUAUCAAUUGUAAUCAAGCUUGUGACCAAUUAUACACAAAUCAUUCAUAUAUUUCCUAAUUUUCCUCUUCCUCCUCUCCAUUCCACAUCUUUAAUGUGUAUAACAGACUUAAACAACAUUAGCUAUAAUUUCGCUAUUCACUCACAUGUAUAUUCAAAGCUGUUUAUCCGAGUUAGAGUCACUAAAUUAUUUUUAUCUAGAGAUACAGAGAUCCAAAUUAAGAUCCGUUAAUUUUCCCUAAAAAUAGACUCACAUAUAUUCUUACCAUAAAAUUUUCAAAAUUUUUCGUUCAGCUAAUUAGUACAGUUUAUUCUUUAAAAUUUCCACUGUUUCGCUAUCUGACAGCUCCGACCACCCUUCACUAAAAAUGAAUUAUAUAAUUGUACAGAAUUCUGAUGAUGUUUUCAUUUGUUUCCUUUGAAAAUAAAUUCAUUAAUUAUUCUAAGCAUAUAAAUUAUAACUCAUAAUUAUUUUUCUUCAAUUUUUGAUGAUUUUCCAAAGUCAGAACAGGGGAACCCGAAAUCAUUCUGACAUUGUCUCACAAAAUUUAUUAUAUCUUAUGAUUUACAAUUCUAUUGCUUACACUGUUUCUUCUAUGAGAAACUAGACUCAAUAAGAUUUAAUUUAAUAUUUUAUUCACCCUCUAAUUCAAUUCUCACAAUUUUUGGUGAUUUUUCAAAUUUAUACUACUGCUGCUGUCCAAAACUGCUUUAGUGCAAAAUGUUAAUUUCCAUUUUGCCCCAAAUUUCACAGUUUAUACAAUUCGGUCCUUUCUCAAUUAACCCCUCAAUUAAUCUAAUUUUAUCAAUUAAUACUUUACCUAAACAUUAUAAGUUGUUUCACAACUAUUGAAAUUCAGAAUUUCUACAUAUAACUCUAUUUUCAAACUCUUUUACUAUUAGGUCCCAAACAUUCACUUUCUAUUCAAUUCUUUCAAUAAAAUCAGCAUAUGAACAAUUUAAAACUCUAAUUCCAUGCUAAAUCAUCAUAUACUUCCAGCAUGUAUUCAGAGAAACUUUCAACUUCUUUCAUAGAAUCAAAAACUAAUGAAUACAAUAAGUGGGCCUAGUUGUAAAGGUCACAAAAACACAAAAUGUUCAAGAAAUAAUCAAGAAUUGAACUUACCUGCAGUAAAAAUAGGAAGAACCAGCUUAAGGAAACCAUUUUAUGGUGUGUUUGCUGAUGAGAAUGCAGAAAAAUAAAGAGAAAUCUAGAUAAUUCCACUUUGGUCCUAACUUUAUUAAGUACAUUUUGCAAUAUUCCAAUUUUGCCCUUAAUUCUCCUUACUUUGUUGCUGAUUUCAUGCCUUUGCCGUCCAGCCCAAAUAGACCUUGGGUCUAUUUUCCUUUUAAGUCCUCUUCCUUUUAUCAUUUAAGCUAUUUAAUCAUUUCCCAUAAUUUUACAUUUUUUACAAUUUAGUCCUUUUUGUUCAAUUAAUUAUCGGAACUUUAAAAUUUCUUAACGAAACUUUAAUACUAACUUUUUAACACUCCAUAAAUAUUUAUAAAAAUAUUUAUGGCUCGGUUUAAAAUCCCGGAGGUCUCGAUACCUCAUUUUUGAUUCUAAUUAUUUUAAUAUUUAUUUCUAGUGCACUAUUCACUAUUUCAAAAAUUUUCCUAACUUCACAUUUAACUUAUACUCACUAAAUUAAUAAUAUUUUCUACCCAUUUGUCAAAUUUAGUGAUCUCGAAUCAUCGUUCUGACACCUCUGAAAAUUCAGGCCAUUACAUUUUUCCUCUCGUCGAAUUUGUGGUCCCAAAAUCAUUGUUCCGACUAGACCCAAAAUCGGGCUGUUACACCACCUCCCAUAGAGUCAACAGGGGCAGAUACUCCUUCUUGUUUCGAAACUACUACUGAUGUCUUCUCAGUUAAAAGCACAUAUUAGGUACUAAAGGAGGAGUCUUUGAAUCCAAAGGAUGACACUUGGAAAAUAGUUUGGAAAAUUUUGGGCCCUCUAAGAGUUAGACAUAUCAUCUAGAUAAUCCUAAAGCAAAGACCUUUAACUAACUUUGAAAAGGUCUGAAGGGGAAUUGGUCAUGAUGAGUCUUGUCAUCUUUGUGGUCACCAUACAAAGGAUAUUUUACAUGUUCUUAGGGACUGUCCAUGUGGGAAGGAUAUUUGGACUCAAAUCAUUUCCCCUAAAGAAAAUAAACAGUUCUUUGAAGGUAAUAUUUCGGAAUGAUUGCUCUCGAAUCUACAGGACCAAUCAGAUAAUAACACGAGAGGUUCAAUCUGGGCUUGCUUCUUCAGGAUAAUACUUUGGCUCAUCUGGAAAAAUUGUAACCUGUUCAUUUCCAAGGAAAAUCAAUGAAUCCGAAGGAAAUUAUUAAGGUUUCCUACAGUUGGGCAAAGCAAUAUUCCUCAGUCAAUAAUGAAGUCUUGGUGACGGAUCUGCAACAAUAUUUUGAACGUUUGGAAUCAGGUAUGGGUUUUCUUCUUAAUAUUAAAGGUGUUGUUAAUUCUAUUUCUGGUUUUUCUGUUGCAGGUGGAGUAAUAUAAGAUGGGAAGAGAAAUUAGAUUUUGGGCUAUAAUCGCUUUUUUGAGAAGUGUUCGGUUGUAGCUACUAAGCUUUGGGACAUAUUAAAUGGCUUACACAUGCUUAAAAAACAAGAAUAUGAUGAGGUCACCAUUCAUUCUAAUAGCCUCGAAAUUGUAGCAGCUAUUAGCGAUAACAAGCCUAAAAAACUAACCUUACUUUAAUUAGGAUGAUUCAACAUAUCCUUGCCAACAAAAAGAUAUGAUCAUUGAGAUAUGUUCCUAAAAUGAAUAAUUAAAUUGCAAACGUAUUAACAAAAAUAACCCUAUCAGAUGAUUAAAUUUUAUAUAUGUUUGAUAGUUGUACAAGCCCAUUUGCCCGGGCCUAAUAAAUUAAACCCAAGACCUACCCAAAACACCAACCCAAAAUUUCAGCCCAAUUUUCUAACCCUAGCCCAUAACAGAAAAAAACAAAAUUUCCUAACCCUAGGUGCGCCGCACCUAGGGUUCUCAGACCCAACUGCAGCCGCCCUAGCCACUGCCACCACCGCACGUCACCGUCGCCCACUUGCUCACCCCACUUGCUCCUGCAAACAGAAAGAAAGAAGUGACAAAUGCACAAAAAACAAAUUAAAAAUUCAUGUAAAAAGGGGCUGUAAAAGCCGAACAUGUGACUUCUUUUUUUUUUCUUCUUCCAACAACUCUUGUAUAAAAAAAAAAGGGAUUCAAUCGAAAAAAUAAAAAAGGCAGAUUCAAGGUAUUUUUCUUUUCAGUUUUGAAGUUUUAUUUAUUUAUUUUGCUCUCUUUUCUCUUCAUGUGUAUAUAUAAAUAAAGAUAGUAAAAAAAGAGAGUUUUAAAAAAAACUUAACCUGCGCUGCGCCGGAAGGGGGAGGAAGGCGAAGGAUUUCACCCCAUUUUUCGGGUCUUCGGCCUUUGAUUCAGGAGAUUCUGCCCUGGAUCUGUGGCCUGGAGGCCAUGGACUUCAAAAAAGGACCAAAAAGGUCCGAUUUUGAACCUCUGGCCUCCACACACGGUGGCUCUGCAGCGGAGACUCGCCGGAAAUCCCAAGCCGGACCAUGGCCGGACCUAAGAGAAAAAGAGAGAGUUUUCUCUCUGUUUUUUAAAAAAAAGAAGAAACUAUUUUUUUAGCUUUUUUUAAUAUUUAUAUUAAGCGUGAAACGACGCCGUUUUAGCAAAGGGGAUCCGCACGUCGACCCGACCCGACCCGAAGGAUCAAUGUGUUUUUAGUUUUUGGGCUAUUUGCGCGCGCAGUCCCCCUGGUUUUGCAGCGUAUUACAAUUUGAUCCUUUUUCGUUAUUUUCUCUUAUUUUUAAUUUAGACGCGCAGUUUUAUUUUUGUUUCAAUUUAGUCCACUGUAGCGCUGCGUUUUAGGAACUCGGUCUAUUUACUAUUCUGGUCCCUCUUUGUUUGGCGCGUGUUGCAAUUUAAUCAUUUUUUGUGUUUUAUUUUGAAUUCGCCCAGUAUUUUCGUUUUUAUUUCGAUUUAGUCCAUGUUUUAGCAAUUUCAUUAUUUAGUUUAUUAUUAUUAUUAUUAUUAUUAUUAUUAGUUUUUUUUCCUUUUAUUUAUUUGUUACUAUUAUAUUAAUACAUUAAUUAGUAGUAUAUUAUUUUUAGCUUUAUUUUUAUUCUAUAUAUACAUACAUAUACACCUAUACAUGUACAUAUUUUUAUAACUUGUUUAUAUAUAUGUAUACAUACAUACGAUACAUACUUACAUAUAUAUAUAUUUUUAUAUAUUAAAAUAUGUAUAUUUAUACAUUAUAUAUUUUAUCUUACCUUUUUUUAUAUAAUCCACAUAUAUAUUUCCCUUAAAUGUACAUAAACAUGUUCAUAUUUUAUAAUUUUCAUCUAUUUUCCUUUAUUUUAUGUCCGUUUAUGUACUUAUUUAUAUGUUCAUUUUUAUGCUUUAGUUUAUUUAUGUAUUUAUUUGCUAUGGUAUAUGCAUGAUUGAUUUAUUUUAUUAUUCGUUUUUGUUCAUAUUUUUUAUUCACAUCAUCAUGUUUAUUAUUCCAUCAUGCAUAUAAAUAUCAUAUUUCAAAAAAAAAAAAAAAAGAGGGAAAAUAUUUCUAAUUGAGGCAAUAUUUAGCGUUUGGAAAUUCGAGAAAACGUGCCCUAAUGUGCUGGGUUUCGAUUUUUCUCGUUCAACCAAAUGGCUAAAUAUCCUUUUAAAAGAUUUCAAAAUAAGGCAAUGUUUUGCGUUUGGAAAUUCAAGAAAACGUGCCCUAAGGUGUUGGGUGUCGAUUUUUCUCGUUCAACCAAAUGACUUAAUAUCCUUUUAAAAAAUUUUAAGAUAAGGCAAUGUUUUGCGUUUGGAAACUCGAGAAAACAUGCCCUAAGGUGCUGGGUGUCGAUUUUUCUCGUUCAACCAAAUGGCUUAAUAUCCUUUUCAAAAUUUCAAAAUAUGGCAAUGUUUUGCGUUUAGAAAUUCGAGAAAACAUGCCCUAAGGUGCUGGGUGUCGAUUUUUCUCGUUCAACCAAAUAGCUAAAUAUCCUUUCAAAAAUUUCAAAAUAAGGCAAUGUUUUGCGUUUGGAAAUUCGAGGAAUGUGCCCUAAGGUGCUGGGUUUCGAUUUCUCGUUUAACCAAAUUGCCAAAUAUCGUCUUGAAUUUGAAUCUAUGCUAUUCGAGUUUUUUUAAGGAUCGUAUUUUAAAUUUCUUAAAAGUUUUCAGUUUUUCGACACUAAGACAUUAAGUAAUCAACUAGGUACCAAUUUUGGGCGUAUCGAGGGUGCUAUUCCUUCCUCGUGCGUAACCGACUCCCGAACCCGUUUUUCUGAAUUUCGUGGACCAAAAUCGUUGUUUUAAUAAAAUUAAAUCGUUUAUUAAAAACAACCACUUUUCAAGGUGAUUCGAUCACACCUUAUCAAAAAAAGAUUGGUGGCGACUCCCAUUUUUGUUUUCAUUUUUCAAAACCCAAGUCGACCUCGUUUUUCAUCAAAAAAAAAUGGUGUCAACAAUAGUCAUCAUGGAGAUUAAGAUAUUCUAAAAGAUGAGAGCACUAGACACAAUUUAUUCAUAAAUACUUUACUAUAAUCGUAUUGUUUUGAUUAUUAUAAAUAAAAAAAAUUGCAUUUGCAUCAAAUCAGCCUGCAAUUAAUGACAACAUUGUCAAACUCGUACUUUUAAAACUUGCAAAAUUCUAGGAUUUUUUACUAAAUUAUUAUAAAAAAAUAAAAAAUAACUAAAAUAUUAUAUUUUUUUUAUUUACCAAAAUAUAUAAAAAAAAAGACGGCUGAAGGAGGGUAAUGGAAUGGCGGCACAGGACUAAAAUGUAACUAUCUGCAGUUUCAAGAACCUGACAUACAAAUUUACCAUUUGGAAUUUUGAAAGUGAAUUGGUGCCACCUGUGGGUGUGUCAGCACCAAAGCUAAAACUUGGCUAAUUGCCUUCUAAGCCCUCCUUAUUUAUUAUUUUCUUUUUAUUCCCCCUUCAACUCACUUUUUUAUUUAAUAAACAAUCCCUCAACCUAUUUUUGUAGUUAAAUAAGCUCUUAAUCUAUGAUUUUUACUCAUAAAAGCCCUUUAUUUUAUUAUUAAAGUAAAUAUAUUUUACCUAAAGUAAAGCUAUUUAAAAAAGUAUAAACUAAUUCACAUUUUAUGUAUUAUUUUGGUAAUUUGAUGAGAAUAGUUUAUUAAAUAAAAAACUUACUAAAUUUAUCAAAGGCUUAUAGCUAUAAUAGUCCCCUAAGAAAAAAACCAAAAAAAGUUACUAAGCCCCUUGACUUAAUUUGAACCUAGUUGAUCCCUUAUCAUUAACCUGAAAAAUUAAUUAAGCUCUUACAUUAAUAAUUUUCACAUUUCGUUACAUUAACCAUUAAAAUCAAUUAACGGGCCAAUUAGAUGACUAAAUAUGACAGGAUGUGAUUUAAUCUUUCAUAUCUCCGAUUAAAAUCAUAAAAAUAUCUAUCUAUAAUAUAUAUAAAAGCACGAGUCUUGAAAAAACUUUUGAACUGACAAAAAUAUCCUUUAUUGUUAAUUAUAUUACUAAAUUACAUUAGAAUAAUAAUUUAUUAAUAUUAUUAUAUAAUAAUAAAAAGUAAGAUUAAUUAAAAUAAUAAUAUAUUAAUGUGAAAUUAAUUAAUUUGGUCAUAUAUUAUAAAGGCUCUACUUAAAAGAAAACAUAAUAUAUUAUUAAUUAAUAAAACUAUAAAUCUAUAAAAUCAUUGAAUAUAAUUGGAUGAAUUUAAAAUAAUAAGAAUUCAAGUUUUUUAAUUAAAUAAAAAUAUUUUUUUACAUAUAAAUACUCUUUAUAAAUUUAAAAAUAAUUAUAAUUUAAUAGAAGUUGUGAGAAUUAUAUAUUUCAAAAUAAUUAUAAUUUAAACUGCAAUUAUUAUUAAAAAUAUUGUGCUAAUUUUAAAAUAGAAUUGUUAUUUAAAUAGAACUCUAAGCAUAAAAUAUAGGAAAAAGACAAAAAUAUUGUGAUAAUUAUAAUUAUAAUUUAUUGUUAUUAGUUAAAAAAUUUGACAAUGCUACUUUUAUUAAAGUAAAAUAGAGUUAUUACUUAAUUAGAAUUCUAAGUAUCUUAAUUAUCACUUAACUAAUAUUAGAUUUAAUUAAAAAAUUAAUAGAAAUAUUAGGCAUGCUUUAUUGAAAAACCAGAAGUAAUAAUAAAACUGAUCACCCAUAAAUGUAACCCAAAUAGAAAAAAUAAAUUAUAAUUAUAAACUAUUCUCAUCAAAUUUAGUAAGUUUUUUAUUUAAUAAACUAUUCUCAUCAAAUUACCAAAAUAAUACAUAAAAUGCGAAUUAGUUUAUACUUUUUUAAAUAGCUUUACUUUAGGUAAAAUAUAUUUACUUUAAUAAUAAAAUAAAGGGCUUUUAUGAGUAAAAAUCAUAGAUUUAGAGCUUAUUUAACUGCAAAAAUAGGUUGAGGGCUUGUUUAUUAAAUAAAAAAGUGAGUUGAAGGGGGAAUAAAAAGAAAAUAAUAAAUAAGGAGGGCUUAAAAGGCAGUUAGCCAAGUUUCAGCUUUGGCGCUGACACACCUAUAGGCGGUACCAAUUCACUUUCAAAAUUUAAAAUGGUAAAUUUGCAUGUCAGGUCAUUGAAACUGCAGGUAGUUACAUUUUAGUCUUGUGCCGCCAAUGGGAUUGGCACCACCGGUGCCGCCAAUGAGAAAGGCAUCAUCGGUGCCGCCAUUCCAUUACCCUCCUUCAGCCGUCUUUUUUUUUGAUAUAUUUUGGUAAAUAAAAAAUAUAUAAUAUUUUGGUUAUUUUAUAUUUUUUAUAAUAAUUUAGUAAAAAAUCCCAAAAUUCUAUCUUAUUGCAUGUCACGUGACUGCAAUUAUUUAUUACAACAUGAUUUUAUCAGAAUUGCUAUAAUAAGGACCACCGACACUGUUACAUGAUUCAGCCAAUUUACCCAUUUUCACUGACACUUUCAUAUACCAUUUCUGAAAAAAAAACUUCUCAAUUGCUGGUCCAAAAAGUAAAGCCAACAUAACAUUGCUCUUCAUUGGGAUGAAAAUGUAACAACACUUAGCAAAUAUUGUUAAAUCUUAAUUAUUUUAUUAUAUAUCCAUCAUAAAUAUUUAAUUUUAUAAUUUAUUAAAUGUAUCCAUUCUCAUUUUACCAUACGAUUGUUUCAUUUUGAUUUUUCUUAAUUAUUUUUAAUAUUUUAAACAUAUUUCUUUAAAAUAAAUUGAAACAUAAUUUUGAUUACUUGGGACAACCUUCCCAAGUAAAAAGGAAAAAUUCUCUAACAAUUAAUUUAUCUUAAUUUUCUUAUAUUAGCAACUAGUAAACAAAAAUUAAUGUUAUCGAAAUCGAAUUGUAUUGAUUAGUUAAAUUGAUUGUAUUGAAAAUUAAUAGAUUUGACGAUCCAACACUUCUUAUUAAAAUGGAUAACAAGCGAACUGUUAUGAACCAAUUAAAACUCAAUUAAACGGGAUUUAGAAACCUAAAAAAAAUCGAUUAAACCAAUAUUUUAUUUAGUAUUAUAUUUUUAUGUUUUUAAUUAAUUUUUUUAUCAAUUUUUAUUUUAUUUUUGAGUCCGUCUUGUGAACCAUGUUACAAUCAGAUUUGCCUCUAAGAUUUGGUGGAAAAGAAGAACAAUCCGAGAUUUGAAAUGAUACCAAAGAGAUUUGAGUAUUUGAGAAGAAGAAAUGAAUAGAAAAAAACCGAUCUUUUAAGAAAUAGUUAGAAUAAAUGAGAAGAGGGAAUGACAAAAAGGAAGUGGAAGAGAAGUUUACAAGUCUAAAGAGUAAAAAGAGAUGAGUUGCAUAUUUGCAAGGAACUUUUAAAUUCUUUAAAAGUGGAUUUACAAAUUUUCAAUCAAUGGGCUAUAUAUUGUCUUAAAGUGGACUUACAAAACUUUGAGAUUUCAAAAUUUAUAAAAAAAUAAAUUUUAUAUUGAUAAUUUAUUUUUUAUUGAACAGAUUGAUCCAAUUAAUUGGACCAACUGAAUUAGGAAUCGGUUGUCUGAUCGAUUUGAUCACUGGUUCAAUUAUGAAAACAUUGUCAGAAAUCACUAAGUCUAAACUAAGUAAUUCAAGGUUUAAACAUAUUUUUAUAUUUUUACUCUUUUAAUGUUGCUAUACCUCUCCGUUACUCGAACACACAAUACCAGAUGCAUCUAGACCUCCUGUUGACUUCAUUUGAAGUAACGUUUCGACAGACCACCUGUUCCUCUAGGAGGGAGCCAUCCACCUGUUUUAAGUAUUAACAUUCUCCUAGUAUGAACACACUUUUUAUAUGAUAAGCAGUCCAUUUAGGCACAGUAAUCUCAUACUGAAAAGCUCUCAUGAUAUAUGCCAAAAAUACCCUUUCACACAUUUAGCGAGAUUGGAUGUUUACCUGGCCAUGUCAUACCAGUGGACAAGAGGAAAUAUUCUAAGGAAUGAUGCAAAAAGAUCAUUCUUUUAGCACCCUAGAGUUACUCUGAGCAAUUGUCUUCUUGGUCAGCCUAUCUUCUUGUUCUUGUUUCGGCUUUUGACCUCUUUAGGUGAAUCGGCCUCCAUUGUACCAUCUUGAUCUCCUCCUUAUCUUCCUCUUUUGUUGUACAUUGUAUCAACAAAUAUAUAGGGUAAAAUGGUAACUUUAUAUAAUGAGUAGGGCGGAACAAGGAAAAUAAUUAUUAUAACAGCUACAUACUCAUAGUGUAAAAAAAAAAAAAUCCAUCUUAUAAUGCAUCCACUUUUUAAGAAAAAAAUAAAAAUUAAAUUCAGCUCCCAUUCUAUUCUGUUUACCGGGGGAUGUAUUGAUGCUACUAUCGAAGGGGAGUUCUCCUUAAGAAACUAUCAUUUUUUGUGAGUUUUCAAGCUCAUUAUUCUAAUAUCUUCAAUUAAACGGUCCAAAUUACUAUAAGAAGACCCACCAACAUUAACACUUUGAUUGGUUACCUUAGCAAUUUCAGAUGCGGAUUUUGCAAACUCCUCCUUUCGAUCCACCAUCACAUCAUUUACCAUUUUCUCCACUAUCUUGCUAUCACAUACAUCCUUCAUAUCCAACCCUAUUUUCCACACCUCACUCACAACCCUACAAUUCACGUGUUGGUCAGCAAACUGAGGCCAGCAAAUCAUAGGCACCCCUGCGACAACGCUCUCUAAAGUCGAGUUCCAUCCAUUAUGCGUAAAGAACCCGCCAAUAGCCGGGUGGUUCAAGACUGCCUCUUGUGGUGCCCAAUUUACAAUGUAACCUCGAUCCUUACUCUUCUCCAUAAGUUCCAUUACAACAUCCUCCCCUUCACCAUCUUUUCCAAUCACGGAAUUUGGCCUUACAACAAGCAAGAACUUUGUUUUACUGUUAAGAAGUCCAUACCAAAGCUCAACAAGUUGCUCCCUCGACGUGCUCGUAAUGCUACCAAAACUUACAUAGAUAACAGAUCGAUUCGGUUGCUUAUUGAGCCAAAACAUGCAGCUUUUAUCCACUUCCCAAAGUGUAUUCGAGAAGUGAUCAUAUGAUUCUCCAUGUUUUGCAUUGAUUCUAGUGUUUAAUUGAGCAUGUAAGGGUCCAACGGCAUAGACACGAGAGCAUUUGGUGCGUAUUUGAGAUAGUAUAGGCCCAUCGAGCUCUUCGGCGGUGUUGAGUAUCAAGGCAUCGGCUUGAAGGCUCUUUCGUGUCUGUUUUACGACUAGCUUCAUAAUUGAAUCUUCAAUGUCCAGUUUUCGACAAAAAGUAGGAAGAUCUCGACAUCGAAGAUAAGUUUCCAUGCCUGGCACUGUCGUUAUUAGCCGGUCCAUGUCUUCACUUCCUUCAAUUGUUUAACAAAAACCCAUUUACUAGUGUCAAUGACCACAAACCCAAUUAAUUCAAACUCAUAUCAAAUUCAAAUUUAUUUAAUCAUAGAAAUUUAACAAUUCAAACUUGAAAUGAUCUAAACCCAAACAUGAUCGCAACUUCGAACGACUCGAACUUAAAAACAACGGGAACAAGUUACCCAAAGUGGUCCAAACUUAAGUAUUAAACCCGAAUGAAAAAAAAUCCUGAAAUGAUUCAACUUAAAAAACCCAUCAAUCUUGAAUGAUUUGUAAUCAGAAUGACUCAAACCCAAAAUAAAUGGACACAAAAACCCAACUAAUUAUCCUAAAGUGACCCGUAAAUAGAAUGAUUCAAAAUAACUCGAAUUUAAAAGUAAAAUUGGUAAAUCUAAAUGACAAGAAACCCAAAGUGAUUCAAAUCCAAAACAAUCCAAACCUCUUUAAAAAAUUGAAAUUCAAAAUCAAUCAAACAUGAAAUGAUUUAAAAUUUUUAAAUUCCGAAUUAAUCCAUCUUAAACCAAAUCAACUCGCCUAAUUAACAGGAAUAUUCCAAAUGUCUUUCUCGUUAAUUUCUGCAACAUGCUUGUCAAAUCAUUUCGACUUAAGGGUUUGUGUUAUUCUAAAUUAAAAACAGUGCUAAGCAUGGUACAAUAAACAAAGUUGAUGAAAAAGAAGUGGAUUUACCAUUGAUAGGAAGCUCCCCAGCUUGGAUUAUAUCAGGUAUAGAAUAAUAAACCCAGAAACAACAAGGACUGCUGGUACGAAAAAAAAUAAUGGGGAUUCCAAGCUCCUUUGCAACAUCAAGAGCAAAGCCUAAAAACCCAUCUGCAAUUAUGCAAUCUACUGGCGGGCUACUAUUCACAAGUACCUCUCUCAAACUUUCCUUCAUCUUAGGUUCCAUGGUAUCUUCAAACAUAUCAAGGAACCAGUUCCCUGACCUAGGAUGAUCAAGAGGGAGACCAUCGGUUAUGGUCUUGAAUUGGAACCCUGAGUAUCUUUCAAAAUGGGCAGCAAUAUUGUUGAACUUGACCAAGCGUUCAUGGUUGUGGUGGGAGUUGAGGAAAGUGAGCUUGAAGCCAGCGAUAGCUAGCAGUUCAGCUAGCUUAAUCAUGGAGUUUAUAUGGCCUUGUAUUGGGAGGGGGAAGACGAGGACAUGUGGAGGACGGGAUUGAGAGGAUCGAUCCUGCUCCAUCUAAUUGGAGGAUCUGUUUUGAGGGGCUUUUUGAGUUUUAUGUGCUUAAGAAUCGACAAUUUCGAAGCUAUUUAGUGGCCAAAAGAUGUCUUUGGAUAGGGCGGCGAAUGUUGUCUAAUUUCACCAUUAUAUUAAUUUAUAUGUUAAGAAAUAAACGAUAUAUUUAUCGUUCUUAGGAAACCAGUUAGGCUCUUAUAUCUAUCCAAGAGUAAACCAUGCCUGAAAUUAAAUUAUAAUUUAUUAUUUUUAAUAGUGUAUAUUUUUAUAAUUUUUAAAAGAUUAAAUUAAAAUUUUAUCAUUUUUAUGGGAUGAAAAUGUAAUAUUAUCUCUUAUAAUUUAAAAUUUUAAAAGACCUACACGAAAAAAAGUUUAAUUUAGGGGAAUUAAGGCCCCUGUCAGCUUCUCUAGUUACGCCCAUGUACCUAUCCUCGUUGACCUUAUUUUCCACUUCCAUUCCAAUGUGGAAUUAUUGCAUCUUGCCUACUUUAAUUUAAAGCGUUUGGUGUGACAUUCUCUCCCAUUUAAUCUCGUGAUGUCUUAGUCACAAGCUACUGUGUCACAGUUGAUCCACUAUGUCAUCCCAUUUUCUGAGAUGCUUAUUGUGAAAUUGGACAGUCAAGGAUUGCUUUGAUACCACUUGUUAUGGUUUCAUUACUCUUUUCCCAAAAGACAUGUGAUUGGAUGUGUGGCGCACUUGCUUAUAUUCUUAAUGACUUUCUCUUUCUUUUUUAGAUUAUUACAUUCUAUCUUUUUUUUAAAGUGCUUGAUGUGAUAUUUAUUUUCCGAAUAUGACAAAUUGUUAAAAAAAAAUCUAAAGAGUUUAUUUAAAAGUUGUAUUAUAAUUUAUUGGGGCUAAAAUUUUUAUAUAGGCAAAUUAAUUUUGUUUUAAUUUUGUUUUAAUUUUAAGAGAAAAUAUUGUUAUAAUAUUAUUUUUGUUUUCUAAUAUAUAUUUUCAACUCACCUAAAUUAAUUAACGAUUUUAUUUAUUUAUUUUUCAUUAAAAGUAUUUUUUUAUUUCAUGCAAUUAAUGUAAAUUAAUAUUAUUGAAAUUGUUGAGUAUAAUUAAAAUAUUACACCAAAUAAAACCUUCAAAACCAUAAACAAAAGCUUGUAUGAAAAUAAUAUAGGCUUCACAACCAUAAAUAAAAACUACUAGUUAAAUUACAUAUUCGUCACCAGAAUUCAUAAAGUUAUAAAAUAGUAAUAAAAUUAUUCGAAGUUUUUAUUUAAGUUACUUAACAGUUAAAAUCGUUAUUGUAUAGUUUUUUCGUUCGCAUUUCUUGCACAAAUCGAAAACUUUUCUUCCCCUUUUCUUGUACGGUUCAAUUUCUUUUCAUAUCUACGAACUAAAAUCUAAAUAACUUUCUUCUUCGAUCUCCAACACCAACUGUCAGAUCGACUUGGAUCUAAGUUAUGUUCUUCUAUUUCUUGAUGGGUACUGAUCUACCAUACUAUUGUCGAAUUGUUGUUUGAAGCUUGUAAACCAAACUUAAAGCUAAUGACUUAAACAAAAUCUUUUGAAUAGUUUAGUGAUUAUUUUAUAUCUAAUUAAUUAAUCAAAAUAUAAACUUAUUAAUAUUUAAUAACCUUGGAUCUAAUUUUAAAAAAAAAUCCAUCUUUAUUGCAUGCCAUGUGACUGCAAGUUAAUUAAUUACAACAUGUUCUUUUAUGUCUUUAAUAAAACAAUCGAAAUUGCAGCAAGGGCCGCCGACAGAUUUCUCAAUCUCUUUUUUGUUUUCAACCUUCAAUUUCAUUCACCAUUUUCGUUAAAGCAAUUUUCCUAUACGAAACAUCUUUAUUCCCCUUCACUAGCUACUUCGGGCAGGGACCGAAUCAAGAGAAAACAUUAUUGGAUAAUAGUCCCCACCAUUUUGAUACCAAAUAAUUUAAGUUCAAUUUUAGUAAAAAAAAUUAAUAUAUUUUAAUUAAUUUCAAUCAAUAUCGAUUUAUAUAUUGAUAAUUAUCAUAACUCGUAUCAAUUAAUAUGAGAUAUUAGUAUUUUAAACUAACUUUUAUUUUUUUUUAUCAAUUGAAAAUCAUAUAUUAGUAUAAAAGCAAACAAAUACGAUUAUUAAUUUAAAAGUUGACAAAGAUGUAAGAGGUAAUUAAAGAAAUUAGGGUCAAAUUGUUUAAUUCGAAAUUAGCAGGAACCUAGGAAAUAAUUUAAUAAAAAAAGUGGGGAUGGGCAAGGCCCCUCAUUUUGUUGUCCCGAUCUCAAAAUUUCAUUUUUUUAACAAUUUUUAUUCAUCAUUCUUAUGUCCUCAAUUAGACAGUCCAAGUUAUAAUACGAAGACCUACCAACAUUCACAGAUCCUUUAGCCAAUUUAGCAAAUUCAUCAGCUGAUUUCAAAAUCUCCUCCCUUUUUUCCACCAUUAAAUCAUUCACCAUUUGCUCCACUUCUAUCACACACAUCCUUCAUAUCUAAUCCUAAUUUCCAUACUUCCUCCACAAACCUACUGUUCAAUUGUUGGUCAGCAAAGCAAGGCACCCCCGCUGUCACGUUCUCCAAAGUCGAAUUCCAUCCGCUAAGAGUCAAAAACCCACCGAUUGCCCCAUGGGCCAAGACAUCUUCCUGUGGAGCCCAAUCCACUAUGUACCCUCUUUCUUUUGUCUCUUCCACGAGCUCCGUUGGUACACCGUCGCAUGUUCAUCUGGAUAAUCCUAAAUCAAAGACUUUUAACCAAAUCUGAAAGGGUCCGAACGGGAAUUGGUCAUGAUGAGUCAUGUCAUUUUUGUAGUCAUCAUACAGAGGAUGUUUUACUAGUUUUUAGGGGCUGUUAACGUUCGAAGGAUAUUUGGACUAAAAUCAUUUCCUCCAAUCAAAAUAAAUGGAUCUUUGAAAGUAAUAUUUCAGAAUGGUUGCUCUCGAAUUCAUAGGACCAAUCAGAUAAUAAUACGAGAGAUUUUGUCUGGGCUUGCUUCUUCGGGAUAAUACUUUUGCGUAUCUGGAAAAAUCAUAACCUGUUCAUCUUUCAAGGAAAAUCAAUGAAUCUGGAGGAAAUUAUUAAAGUUUCUUACAGUUGAGCAAAACCAUAUUCUUUAGUCAAUAAUGAAGUCUUGGUGAAGGAUCCGCAAUAGUCUUUUGAACAUUCGAAGUCAGGUAUAGGUUUCUUCUUAAUACUGAAGGUGUCGUUAAUUUCAUUUAUAGUUUUUCCGCUGCAGGUGGGGUAAUAUGUGAUGGGAAGGGAAAUUGGAUUCUAGAAAUAAUUACUUUUUGAGGAAGUGUUCGGUUGUAGCUGCUGAGAUUUGAGACAUAUUAGAUGACUUACACAUACUUAAAAAACAAAGAUACGAUAAUGUUACCAUUCAUUUUGAUAAUAUUAAAGUCAUAGCAGCUAUUAGAGGUAAUAAGCCUGAAAAAACUACCUCUACUUUAAUUAAGAGAAUUUAACAUAUGCUUGCUAACGAAAAGAAAUGGUCAUUAAGAUAUAUUCCUAAAAAGAAUAAUAAAAUUAUAGACGCAUUAGCAACAAUGACUCUUAAAUGACGAAGUUUUACAUACGUUCCAUAGCCCUUACGGAGAUUCAAGAUAUUCUAAAAGAUUGAGCACCAAAGACAAUUUAUUUAUAAAUACUUUACUGUAAUCGUAUGUCAAACUCGUACUUUUAAAACUUGCAAUAAAAAAAAAAAAAAAACAGAAAGAUUACACCUUAUUGCAUGUCACGUGACUGCAAUUGUUUAUUACAACAUGCUUUUAUCAUAAUUGCAAAAAUAAGGACCACCGACACUGUCACAUGAUUUAGCCAAUUUACCCAUUUUCACAGACCCUUUCAUGCACCAUUUUGGAAAAAAAAAAGAAGAAAAAUCCCAAACAAAAGCGACUUCUCAAUUGUUGGUCCAAAAAGUAAAGGCAACAUAACAUUGCUCUCCAUUGGGAAGAAAAUGUAACAACACCUAGCAAAUAUUGUUAAAUCAAUUAUUUUAUUAUCUAUUUCGUUCCAUCAUAAAUAUUUAAUUUUAUAAUUUAUUAUUUCCAUUAUGGAUAUUAAAUAUAUCCAUUCUCAUUUUACCAUACGUUGUUUCAUUUUGAUUUUUCUUAAUUAUUUUUUAAUAUUUUACACAUAAUUUUGAUUACUUGGGAUAACCUCCCAAGUAAAUAGGAAUUGAAUUUACCUUAAAAAUUAAAAAUUUCCUAGCAAUUAAUUUAUCUUAAUUUUCUUAUAUUAGCAACUAGAAAUUAAAAAUUAAUAUUGUUGAAAUUGAAUUGUAUUGAUUAAUUAAAUUGAUUGGAUUGAAAAUUGGUAGAUCUGACGAUCCAAUACUCUUUAUUAAAAUAGAUAACAAACGAACUGUUAUGAACCAAUUAAAACUCAAUUAAAUAGGGUUUAGAAACUUGAAUAAAAAAUCGAUUAGAAUAAUAUUUUAUUUAUGCAAAGAAAGAAAAAGCAAAACAUGAGAUUUGGAAUGAUACGAAAGAGAUUUGGGUAUUUGAGAAGAAGCAAUGAAUAGAAAAAAACCGAUUUUUAAGGAAUAGUUAGAAUAAAUGAGAAGAGGGAAUGACAAAAAGAAAGUGGAAGAGAAAUUUAUAAGUCUAAAGAGUAAAAGAGAUGAGUUGCAUAUUCGCAAGGAACUUUUAAAUUCUUUAAAGGUGGAUAUUAUAAAUUUUUAAUCAAUAGGCUAUAUACAAUCUUAAAGUGGAAUUACAAAACUUUAAUAAUGAAAUUUCAAAAUUUAUAAAUAAUUGGAUUUUAUAUUUAUAAUUUAUUUUUUAUUGAAUCAAUUGAUUUAAUCGAUUGAAUCGAUUAAAUUAAAAAUUGGUGGUCUGAUCGGUUUGAUCACAGGUUCGAUUAUGAAAACAUUGCCAGAAACCAGUAAGUCUUAACUAUGUAAUUCAAGGCUCAAACAUAUAUUUAUAUUUUCACUCUUUUAAUCUUGCUAUACCCCUCCGUCACUCGGACACGUGUCAAUAUCAGAUGCAUCAUAGACCUCUUGUUGACUUCAUUUGAAGUAACGCUUCAAUAGACCACUCGUUCCUCUUAGAUGGAACCAUCCACCCGUUUUAAGAAUUAACAUUCUCUUAGUAUGAAUGCACUCUUUAUAUGAUAAGGAGUCCAUUUAGGCACAAUAAUCUCAUACUGAUAAGGCCCCAGGUCCCAUGAUAUACGCCUAUAAAUAUCCUUUACAUAUUUUGUGGGAUUGAAUGUUUAUCUAGCCAUGUCAUAUCAGUGGGCAAGAGAAAAAUAUUCUAAGGAAUGAUGCAAAAAGAUCCUUUUUAUUAGCACUCUAGAGUUACUGAGCAAUUGUCUUCUUGGUUAGUCUGUCAUUUUGUUCUUGUUUCGACUCUCAACCUCUUUAGGUGAAUUGGCCUCCAUUACACCAUCUUGACCUCCUCCUUAUCUUCCUCCCUUGUUGUAUGUUGUAUCAACAAAUAUGUAGGGUAAAAUAAUAACUUUAUAUAAUGAGUAGGGUGGAGCACAAAAAAUAAUUAUUAAAACCACUUCAUACCUAUAAUGCAAAAAAAAAAAAAAAAAUACCAUGCAUUCACAUUUUAAGAAAAGAAAUAAAAGCCUCCCGUUCUAUUGUGUUUAUUGGGGGGGAUGUAUUGAUGCUACCAUCGAAGGGGACUUCUCCUUUUGCAUGCUUAUUACUGUUAAGUAUUUAUUCAUAAUGUUUGAUACUUGCUACUUCUUUAUGUUAGCUCAUUUUAUGAAGAUAAUACUCUAGUUGUUAGUGUCAAAGGGUGAGAAUGUUAGUGUCAUUGAUAAAAGUUGAGGCGGAUGAAUAUGGAAGUGUAUCGUAAAGUUUGUUUAAGUCGCGAAUUAGACUUAAGAUUCUAGACGUUAGGAAAGAAACUUAGAUUUUGACAUAAUCUGAAACGCAAUCAAAUCCAAAAUAGAUAUACUUCGAACGCCAUGAAGAAUCUCAACCCAGAUAUGCCUGGAUCCCAUCCAAAAAGGCGUUGCAAGUUUGUUGAUUUCCUAAACUUGAAAGUUGACAGCUUUGGUGAAUGAAAUUUAAUAAAUUUCAUCCCAUCCGUACAUAUAUCAUCCCCCUUUCCUCGAAAAAAAUUCUUACUCGAAUAUUGUCUUUAAUUGAAUCUUGAUUUGAUUUGUUUGGCCGUUGACACUAUUGUUGAGCUUUGAGAUAAUGUGAUCUCAUCACAUCCAUUAGUCUGAAACUGGUUCUUGGGUCUUGGGGCUUACAUCAUUUGUCAAUUACUCAGUUAGUCACAACUCAAUUUGCAAUUGAGUUGUUUGUAAUUUACCUAUUUUAUUGGCAUAUUUUGAUAGGAUUUAAGUAACUAUUGUUGUACAUCUUUUUAAGGUUAAUAAUAAAAAAAUUUGGUGAUUGUAAUUGAUCAAGAUAUUCAAUCAUGUAAGGAUAUUUUGAAAAGUUUUACUGCUAUUCAAUUACUUUGUUUAAAGAGAUAUUGCAAUAAAAAAAAUUUAAAAUGAAGAGAACCCGCCAACGGCUGGGUGGUUCAAAGCUCAUUUUGUGAGUUUUUUCAAGCUCAUUAUUCUAAUAUCUUCAACUAAACAGUCCAAAUUACUAUAAGAAGACCCACCAACAUUAACACUUUGAUUGGUUACCUUAGCCAUUUCAGAUGCGGAUUUUGCAAACUCCUCCUUUCGAUCCACCAUNNNNNNNNNNNNNNNNNNNNNNNNNNNNNNNNNNNNNNNNNNNNNNNNNNNNNNNNNNNNNNNNNNNNNNNNNNNNNNNNNNNNNNNNNNNNNNNNNNNNCACAUACAUCCUUCAUAUCCAACCCUAUUUUCCACACCACACUCACAACCCUACUAUUCACGUGUUGGUCAGCAAACUGAGGCCAGCAAAUCAUAGGCACCCCUGCGACAACGCUCUCUAAAGUCGAGUUCCAUCCAUUAUGCGUAAAGAACCCGCCAAUGGCCGGGUGGUUCAAGACUGCCUCUUGUGGUGCCCAAUUUACAAUGUAAC